GGAGAUUGAGGUAUAUGUUGAUGAUAUGAUUGCUAAGUCAACAACGGAAGUGGAACAUGUAGAGCACUUGUUGAAGCUUUUUCAACGUUUGAGGAAGUACAAGCUUCGUCUGAAUCCCAACAAGUGUACAUUUGGAGUCCGUUCUGGCAAGUUAUUGGGCUUUAUUGUCAGCGAAAGAGGUAUUGAGGUUGAUCCUGCACAAUACAAGAGAUGCCUGCGCCCAAAACUGAGAAGCAAGUCCGAGGUUUUCUUGGCCGCUUGAAUUAUAUUUCCAGAUUCAUAUCCCACAUGACUGCCACAUGUGCGCCGAUAUUCAAGCUCCUUCGAAAAGAUCAUUCCCAUGAUUGGACCGAGGAUUUCCAGAAAGCUUUCGAUAGUAUCAAAGAGUAUCUGUCUGAACCUCCAAUCCUGUCUCCGCCUGUAGAAGGAAGACCAUUGAUCAUGUAUUUGACUGUCCUUGAAGAUUCAAUGGGUUGUGUCCUUGGUCAGCAAGAAUAAUCAGGGAAGAAAGAGUAUGAUAUUUACUACCUAAGUAAGAAGUUCACUGAUUGUGAGUCUCGAUACUCAAUGCUUGAGAAGACAUGCUGUGUUUUGGCUUGGGCCGCUAAGCGUCUACGCCGGUAUAUGAUAAAUCAUGCAACUUGGUUUAUAUCCAGAAUGGAUCCAAUCAAGUACAUAUUUGAGAAGCUUGCUUUAACCGGGAGGAUUGCCCGUUGGCAGAUGUUGUUGUCUGAGUAUGAUAUUGAGUAUCGAGCUCAGAAGGCUAUUAAAGGUAGUAUCUUGGCUGACCACUUGGCACAUCAGCCGAUUGAGGAUUAUCAGUCAGUUCAGUAUGACUUCCCAGAUGAGGAGAUUCUAUAUUUGAAAAUGAAAGAUUGUGAUGAGCCUACACUCAAUGAAGGGCCAGAGCCUGGUUCCAGAUGGGGUAUGGUAUUUGAUGGCACUGUAAAUCAGUAUGGAAAUGGUAUUGGGGCAGUAAUCAUUAAUCCUCAGGGCAUACACAUUCCCUUUACAGCAAGGCUAACUUUCAAAUGCACGAAUAAUAUGGCUGAGUACGAGGCCUGUAUUAUGGGAUUGGAAGAAUGCAUUGAUCUAAGGAUCAAGCAUCUUGAUGUUUAUGGUGAUUCGGUCCUCGUUGUCAAUCAGAUCAAGGGUGAAUGGGAGACGAAUCAGCCUGGUCUUAUUCCAUAUAGGGAUUACGCGAGGAGGACUUCAACGUUCUUUACUGAGGUUGACUUCCAUCAUAUUCCUCGAGAUGAGAAUCGGAUGGCAGACGCUCUUGCUACGCUUGCUUCGAUGAUUGUGGUUAAACUGUGGAAUGAAGUUCCCAAUAUCACCGUGAUGCGCUUGGAUAGACCAACUCAUGUAUUUGCAGUUGAAUAAGUGAAGGAUGAUAAACCAUGGUAUUAUGACAUCAAGUGCUUCCUCCAGAACCAGGUUUAUCCGCCCGGGGCAUCUGUGAAAGAUAGGAAGACUUUGAGAAGAUUGUCAGGCAGUUUCUACCUCAAUGGAGAAGUGCUUUAUAAGAGAAAUUUUGAUAUGGUUCUACUCAGAUGCGUGGAUAGACACGAAGCAGACCUGUUGAUGACUGAAGUCCAUGAGGGUUCAUUUGGUACUCAUUCCAAUGGACAUGCCAUGGCUAGAAAGAUGUUGAGGGCAGGCUACUAUUGGCUGACAAUGGAGUCUGACUGCUGCAAAUAUGUGAAGAAAUGCCACAAGUGUCAGAUUUAUGCGGAUAAGAUUCAUAUUCCUCCGACACUUCUGAAUGUGAUUUCAUCACCAUGGCCUUUCUCUAUGUGGGGAAUUGACAUGAUCGGCAUGAUUGAGCCGAAAGCGUCCAAUGGACACAGGUUUAUUCUCGUAGCAAUUGAUUACUUCACUAAGUGGGUUGAAGCGGCGUCAUAUGCAAAUGUGACCAGGCAGGUGGUCGUGAAGUUUAUCAAGAAUCAACGCAUAUUCCGUUAUGGUGUGCCAGAUAAGAUCAUUACUGAUAAUGGAUCUAACUUAAAUAACAAGAUGAUGAAAGAGUUGUGUAGUGAGUUCAAGAUUGCACACCAUAGUUCUUCUCCUUAUAGACCCAAGAUGAAUGGGGUUGUUGAAGCUGCUAACAAGAAUAUCAAGAAAAUUAUCCAAAAGAUGGUUGUUACGUACAAAGAUUGGCAUGAGAUGCUGCCAUUUGCUUUGCAUGGAUAUCGUACAUCUGUCCGCACUUCAACAGGGGCAACCCAUUUCUCUCUUGUUUAUGGCAUGGAGGCUGUACUCCCAGUAGAGGUGGAGAUCCCAUCAAUAAGAGUCUUGAUGGAAGCCAAGUUGACUGAUGCUGAAUGGGUUCAGAGUCGCUAUGACCAGCUGAAUUUGAUUGAAGAGAAGAGAUUGACUGCCAUGUGCCAUGGUCAUUUAUAUCAUCAGAGAAUGAAGAAAGCUUUUGAUAAGAAGGUCAAGCCUCGUGUGUUCCGAGAAGGUGACCUCGUGCUCAAGAAGGUCUUGUCUUUCGCGCCCGAUUCCAGGGGAAAAUGGACUCUAAACUAUGAAGGUCCAUAUGUUGUUAAGAGAGCCUUUUCAGGCGGUGCUUUGAUGCUUACAACUAUGGAUGGGGAGGAUUUCACUCGUCCUGUGAAUUCAGAUGCAGUCAAUAAAUACUUCGCCUAAAAAUAAAAACAGAAUAACUCGCUAAGUUGAAAACCCGAAAGGGCGGCUUAGGAAAAAAUGAGCGUCUCGGUGGAUUGAAAACCCGAAAGGGCGAUCUAGGCAAAAGUUAGAGACAUAAAAAAUGAAUAUAUGCAUCCCGCUAGAUUGAGUACCUCAUCCUAGGGCAAUCUAGGAAAAAAUUAGGGAUUUGGCAAGUAACUGCAUCCUGACAAGACUGUGUUCUACAACUGUCAUCCAUCAGAGAUUCUUGUUCAUUCGUCGUCAACCAAAGCUUCGAAUACAUCGAAUUCAGAAUUGAUGGAGAAAUGGUCAUUAUGUUCAAUGUAGCCCUUUUCCAAUAUAUAUCACCAAUUUCAAACUUGUAAAAAAUCUUUGGGGUCUUGCCAUUUGCAGGCUACCAUUCCAUCAAAUAAAUUCGAGCCUUUAUCCAAUUAUUUGCACUCCUAUUUGUUUCUAUUUCAACAAAUGUUUUGCAUUUUUUUAAUUGAGAAAAUAUCAUUGUUUUAAAUAAAUGAGUUUUCCAUAACUUGUUUUUUAAACAAAGUGAACAUUCACAAUGACAAAAGGAUACUUAGGAGAUCCUCAGUGCUCUCCCAAGGGUGGUAUGAUCCCCAACAGGGUAAGACAUUUGUUCAUAUCCCUGGCAUGACUGUAUCUUCUUCCUCCGGAGCCCCUUUUAUGGUUCAUCCCCGAGUGGUAUGCUUGUUGAGAUGUUCACCACUCUCCCCUUCAGCGGAAGAGCGAUCUUUUCUCCUCAGCAGGUGUGAUCUCCUUGGUGAGUUUGGUACUUGGUGUCGGAUCACCAGAUUCCUCUUAUAUCCCUCAGAUGGAUUCCCCAGUAGAGUUGCUUUUGUGGCAGUUUCUGCCUGUGCAAUGAACUUUUUUCCCCAGCCGGAUUGACUGAUGAUUCAUCCCCCAGAGAUUUUGUGAUUUCCUGGUAUCUCUGAUUCCCCGGCAGAUUGGAUACUCUCCAUUGGAAUUUUGGGCUUCCUCCCUUGAGAUGUAGUACCGGACGGCUGUGUGCCUUUUCCUUUGGAGUUGUUUGUGUUAGAAUGUCUGUUUGUCAGCAUUCAUCAUACAUAAAUCACGCAUAUGUGCAUAUAUCCUUCAUAACAUUUAGAUAUUCAUAUUGCAUUUUUUGCCAUAUAUCUAUUGUUUGUUAUCCUCUGCUAGUUGGUAAUACAUUUCCCAAGCAGAUGUCGGUGUCUGAUCCCUCAAUAUAGAGUCAGCCCCUUUAAGCAGAAAGUGUUUAUCUUUCCUACCAUAUUCCCCACUGAGUUAUAUCCUCGUGGACGACGGUUGUUUCUGCUUCCUCCCAACACAUAUAUCGGGAUGGGUUCCCCUAUUGAGUUAUAUCCUCAUUAGGAUGAGUCUCGAUUCAGUUUGCCUUUUUGGUUUGAUCCUAAAUUGGCCUCUUGUGACUGUCUUUGGUGUUUCCCUGUGGUAAAUGAAUAAUAUCGAUUCAGUUUGCCUUUUUGGUUUGAUCCUAAAUUGGCCUCUUGUGACUGUCUUUGGUGUUUCCCUGUGGUAAAUGAAUAAUUGCUCAGUAAUCAGUAAUUAUUCACCUUAUCCUCAGCGGAGUUUGUGGUUUUCUACCCUUAUACCGGUAGAUAUAAACCCUAUUUUUCCCCCUUUGCAGAGUUAACCAUUGUUGUUCAUCCUAGUUGAUGACGGUUACUCUUCCGUGGUUUUCUACCUAGUAUCCGGUAGAUGUAAUCCCCUCUUUGACGGUUAACAUUAUCCAACAUUCGGUAUUGAUAUUCCCUCAUUCUUUUGGAUAAUUGCUCUGAUUAAGCAAUUUUAUCCCCAGCGGGUCCUCUUUCAUUUACCGUUUACCGGUGAUGUUUGUUGCUCCCCUUGUUUGGUCAUCAUUAUAUAACUAGUUUUGGUAUCCCGAUGCCUUUCUCUGUCGGUCGAUUUAUCCUUUAUUAACCCAGUAACCGGUUGUGGAUAAUCUUCCAUGCGAGUAUUUUAUCUACGUUCCGACGGUAAUAGAUAAUAUAUCUCAUGCACUCUUUGGUCGAAGCCUUUUGUUCUUCCCCAAUCGAGUAAGAUUCGUAUUCUUGUUUUAGAAUCAAAUGUCCAUCCCAUAAUCGAGUUUGCAUUCUGUCCUCUUUUUGGAUGAUGAGUGUUUUGGGAAUAUUCCCCAAUUCAUGCUUUGUUUGGUCAUCAUUAUAUACCUAGUUUUGGUAUCCCGAUGCCUUUCUCCGUCGGUCGAUUUAUCCUUUAUUAACCCAGUAAUCGGUUGUGGAUAAUCUUCCAUGCGAGUAUAUUAUCUAUGUUCCGACGGUAAUAGAUAAUAUAUCUCAUGCACUCUUUGGUCGAAGCCUUUUGUUCUUCCCUAGUCGAGUAAGAUUCGUAUUCUUGUUUUAGAAUCAAACGUCCAUCCCAUAAUCGAAUUUGCGUUCUGCCCUCUUUUUGGAUGAUGAGUGUUUUGGGAAUAUUCCCCAAUUCAUGCUUUGUUUGGUCAUCAUUAUAUACCUAGUUUUGGUAUCUCGAUGCCUUUCUCUGCCGGUCGAUUUAUCCUUUAUUAACCCAGUAACCGGUUGUAGAUAAUCUUCCAUGCGAGUAUAUUAUCUACGUUCCGACGGUAAUAGAUAAUAUAUCUCAUGCACUCUUUGGUCGAAGCCUUUUGUUCUUCCCCAGUCGAGUAAGAUUUGUAUUCUUGUUUUAGAAUCGAAUGUCCAUCCCAUAAUCGAGUUUGCGUUCUGCCCUCUUUUUGGAUGAUGAGUGUUUUGGGAAUAUUCCCCAAUUCAUGCUUUGUUUGGUCAUCAUUAUAUACCUAGUUUUGGUAUCCCGAUGCCUUUCUCUGUCGGUCGAUUUAUCCUUUAUUAACCCAGUAACCGGUUGUGGAUAAUCUUCCAUGCGAGUAUAUUAUCUAUGUUCCGACGGUAAUAGAUAAUAUAUCUCAUGCACUCUUUGGUCGAAGCCUUUUGUUCUUCCCCAGUCGAGUAAGAUUCGUAUCCCUGUUUUGGAAUCGAAUGUCCAUCCCAUAAUCGAGUUUGCUUUCUGCCCUCUUUUUGGAUGAUGAGUGUUUUGGGAAUAUUCCCCAAUUCACGCUUUGGUUGGUCACCUAUUAUAUGCCCAGUAACCGGUAUCCCUGGUGUUCCUUCCUUCUGCUCCCUAUUAUGACUUUUUUCCCCUGUGGAGUCAGAUUUUCCUGAGUUGAGAUAUACCUUUUAGGUCUUCCUCAGAUGAUUUGGUUGAUUGAUAUCUCUCACCCUUAUACCGGUCUUAGAUAUUCAUUCUUCCCGAGCUUGUUGUUCUCUCACCCUUAUACCGGUGAUCAGAUCACAUGUCUCAUUGAGCUUGUUACCCAGUAACCGGUAACACCUCAUCCCGCUGCUUCCCCAGGAGAGUCUUUUUAGACAUCCCCAGCGAGGUAUCUGUUGUGGAUCGCUUUUUGCUGUGUUGGCAUAUUCCCAAAUACAUGCAUCUUUGAGUCAGCUCGAGUCUUUCCAACGGAUUUAUUCCCUUUGGAGGCCCUUUUCCCCAGCUUUGAGUCGUGACCUGCUCACGCGGUUUCAGUCCUUUACUCCCCCGUAGAGUCCCUUCCCCAUGGAGUGGAUAACUCAUAGGGAUUAUCAAAUUUCUUCGGAUGUCUUUUCUUCUUUGUGGACACAUAUCCCCACAGAGUUUUGUUUGUUUUGCAUACAUACAUUGGCAUUAUGAAGUCUCUUAGGGACCAAAAUUUGUCUCUUUGUUAUUAUUUAAGCCCAUUCUACUUCGUCGAGACGAAGAUUUUAACCUUCACUUCUCCGGCUAGAAUGACCUUAAAUAGGGGCAUCUGUAAGACCCCAAUUUUGUCCCUAAGAUCCCUCAUGGCAUCAUAACAUUGCAUUGCAUAGUCUCAAGGAUCAUUGAGCAUCUUGGCUCCCUUUCCCUUUGGGUAGGGAUCUCUUGUGAGUGGUUUGAGAUCACCAAGCAUGCUUGAAUUGUAUAUCAUUGCUUUUCUCAUUUUGUUUACUAACCAAAAGCACAAAAAUAUGUCACUAACAUCUUUUGUUUGUAGCUUAAGCAAUCACCAGGUCAAGAGUUUCAAGAAGAUCCUUUGUGCAAGAGAUGAGGUAUUUCCUUGGGAUGAGGAUCACAUGAUUAAUAUAAGGAGCUUAUAUGAGCUAGGGUUUCAUUUUGAAGCAAUUUCACCAAGUGGUAGAGGCACAAGUUAAUCAAGACAUUUCAAGGUCAUCUGAGGACCAAAAGUCAACUGUGCAGUCAACUGAGGGCUAGGAGGUGGGGAAAAGAGUUGAGACACCUCAAUCAUGUUCAAAUGGGGUCUAUUCAUCAUUCUAAACAUCCAUCUUGAAUAUUCAAAGGUCAUGGCAAAAGUUACUAAAAAUGGAAAAUGACCUAUAAUUCGAAGUUUCCAAAUUUGGCAAGUUUUUGGUCCACCUUCAACUUGACUUGUCAAUAUCAAAGAUGUUUCAAAUGUAUUUUUGGUGAACAUGAAAUUUGUAGAUCUUUGUCUCCCCUUUCCAAAAAGUCCUAAUUCAUGUCCAUAUGAUGAAUGGUUGAAAAGUUAUGGUCAUUUGAUCACAAAGUGUGCAUGGAAAUUCAAAAUGGCAUAACUUUUGAUGUAAUGCUUCAAAUUGGUUCAUUCUUUUGGCAAAAUGCUUCUCAUGUUCAAGACAUCUCAAAAUGAGAUUUUCCAUGCAUGGGAAAAGUGUGCAUGCUCAUUAUUUCAUACAUGUGCAAAUUGAAGAAAAUAUUCACCAUUCAUUUUUGGCUUAAGAUGCAAGCUAACAAAUACUCAAAGCAUGACCAUUGGAUGUUCUUAAGUGGAUUUAAGCCUUAACAUGGAGCUGAUCACAUGUAUUAUGGGCAUGUGAGCUCAUUUUACAUUUUUGUAAAUUGCUUCAUAACUCCUUAAUCAUGAUUAACCAAUGGAAAAUAUGAUUAACAUUGUCAUUAGCAUGGGAUAUAAAUACUGAAACCCUAAUCAUAACUGCAAAGAACCACCAUUUUCAGAUCUGAAAUUCAAGAACUCUCCAAAAUUCUCUCUCUUUGAAUUUGAUUUUUCUUCACACAAUUCUCAAAGAUCAUUGCAUAUUUUUGUUCCUGGUGCUUCACUGAGCAAGAUUCAUCCACUAUUUGGUGCGAUUCAUCAAGGAAUCGAGCAAUACAAGAGCAUGAACAUGGCAAUCGGAUUUGGAAAUUGAAGUAGAUUCAAGAGGAUUCAACCGUUCAUUUUUGCUUAAAGUUUCAUAGGAAGAUCAUAGGAGAAGAUCUGGAGCUGUAGAGCUUGAGAGAACACAUUUUCAAAAAGCUUCAUUUCCAGGUGAUGCAAUUUUCGAUCUCUCCUUUUGCUGUUUUUUGAACAUAGAACUGUAGAUCUUGUUGAGUAGAGCACAAGUAUGUGUUUAGAUUUGGAAUUGAGUGAGAAUUGAGAAUGUUAGGUUGAUUGGAAGUUUGGAUCUAGAAAAUAUUUCUCUUCGAUCUGUAGAAUCUAUGAGGAAUUAGGGAAAUCUAAGGUCAUAUUUGGAACCUACGUUGGGAGACGAGUCAAACGGUAUAGGACUCGUGAGAUUCUGGAAAAUUUUGGGUGGCGCCACCGUGAGGCUUGCCGGAGAAGACGACCGGAGCUGUAGCUCCGGCGUCUGUAUCAUUUUAGGGUUUGAUGAUGUGUACUACCAUGUGUUCCAUUGCGUGGACAAGCGAUUGGAUGUUGUUGCUUUGACUGAGCCACGCGUGCGUUGAAGCGCUGAGUGGCAUGCUGACUGGUUUAAGUGAAACGGCGCGUUUUGAUGUUUAAACCUGGACCAUUGAUCUGGAGCGCGCGCCAGAUCUGAUGGUUGUGGAUUUUUCUGGUUUUAUUCAAAUUAAUUCGUUUCCCUCCAUUUUCAUUUGAUUAUUCAACUAUUUUGCUUGUUUUGUAAAAUUCAUAAAAGAUGCAAAAAUGAUCCAAAUGAGUCCCAAUUUAUUUUCAUGGUUUUGUAUGGAUGUCUACUUUUUUAUGGUGCUGAUUUCAUGAAUUGUUGAUGUCUGGAUUUUUAUUUGUGAAUUUUUGAAUGAACAUUGUGCUAAUUUGAUCUAUUGCAUUCAAUGCAUUGUGAAAUCCUCAUCUUUGAGCCAUCUGAUCCAAUUUUUUGCAUACAUGACAUUCAUACAUAAUAUGAAUAAAUGAACAUUGUGCUAAUUUGAUCUAUUGCAUUCAAUGCAUUGUGAAAUCCUCAUCUUUGAGCCAUCUGAUCCAAUUUUUUGCAUACAUGACAUUCAUACAUAAUAUGAAUUAUUGGUCACUGGUUUUGAAUUUUUCUCACAGGUUAUCAUCAUUUUUGACACAUAGGGAAUAAUGUGACAAUUUGUGUCACAUUUUUGACAUUGAAUUGGUGCAUUUUUGUUCACAUAACAUUUGCAUCAUUCUGGAUUUGAUUUUUUGCAUGAUGAUUAUUCAUGACAUGAGGAACUUGUAAAAAAAAUCUCAAAGUCAUUGCGUGCAUUUCUGAUUUGGUAUGAAUUUUCUAAGUUGGAAGUUUAUUUUGUGCAUAUUUUUGGUCAUUGCAUGGCAUAGACAAUUAGAGGCAUUUGAUUUUUUGAUUUGAUGCUGGUCCUUUUGAGGACAUUUAGUGGAGUGUUGGAAGGUGUAAUGUGUAGAAGAUUGGGUUCUGGUUUGGUCAUUUGGUUAGGUUUUGAAUUCAUCUCUUAUGCUUUUGUUUGUUGGUGUUUUAUUGUGUUGUUUAAAUGCACAUAGACUAACUUUGUCUUGUGUUUCAGGUUUGGAUACUCAUCAUUGAUCUUGUGAGAUACAAAUGCAUUUGAGUACUGACCUAUUGUUGUUUUGUAGGGUUUUAACUGAUGUGGUGAACUCAUGAGCUCAUUUGAGUGCUAGGGCACUUAUGCACUGAAUUGUGUAAUUGUUAGAGGGUUUCACUGUAUGUUUUCUGGUUGUAUGACUGAAGUACUAAUUGUUUAGUCUUUGUACAGGUACUUUAGUUGCUUGCUUGCUUUAGCUCUUGCUUAAGCUUUGGAUUAUGGUUGACACACCACUCAGGUAAUUAGCUUCUUACUUCAUGUAGUCUGAAGUCCUGUCACCUUUUUGGCAGGCAUUUUGCUGGCAAGUCCUCCUUCAGAGGCUCUGUUUGUGUUUGUUUAAAAUUGUGCUCAAAGACCUCCAAGAAGAGGCAUGUGAUAUUUGAUAAGACCUCCAAGAGAAGAGGAAAUUGACGGAUAAAAGGGAUUAGUAGCCAAUCCCCCGUUAUUCAAUGUGUCGUUCUUUAUGCUCGCACUACGUGCUGAUGCUUCUGAACAUGUGCCCNNNNNNNNNNNNNNNNNNNNNNNNNNNNNNNNNNNNNNNNNNNNNNNNNNNNNNNNNNNNNNNNNNNNNNNNNNNNNNNNNNNNNNNNNNNNNNNNNNNNAAAUUCAACAAAAACAGUAAUAAUACACAGAAAACUCAAAAUAAAAACAAACCCUACAAUUCAACAAACUCCUCAAUCUUCCUUCAUUUCAUCGCCAUGGGUUGCACCACCUCCUGCACCCCCAAAAAAAAACUGGCCUGCCCUCGGGCCACUUAGCAUAAUCAACAUAAUCCUCCUAGGAAGGGAAUGAAGAGGAAUAGUUUUGAAAUUUGGAGGUUUGGAAGUGGAGCAGCGAAGUUGUUGAAAGAAUCUCCUAAGUUUGUGAAAAUAGGAAUGAAACGAAAAUGACAUAAAACAGAACUUAAAUGGUUCUGCCACGCUCAGUUCGCUGGGCGAACUCUGUUUGCUAGGCCAACUGAAGGAUUUUUUUUUAUUUUUUAUUUUUUAUUUAUUUUUUUAUAUUCAGUUUGCUGGGCGAAUUGAAGGAAAUUUCAAAAAAAAAUUGUUGGCAGUGGUCAGAACAUAAGUGGUUUUGUCACGCACCGUUCGCUGGGCGAACUUUGUUCGCGGCGCGAACUGAAGCUUUCCAUUCAGUUCGCUGGGCGAACACUGUUCGCGGGGCGAACGGCAAAAAACAGAACCCAAUUUUUCAAAAUUUAACACAGCAGAAAAUCAAUAAAACAGAAUUGAGAAAAUGUAAAAUUCAGACUUACAACGUUGGGUUGCCUCCCAACAAGCGCUUUGCUUAACGUCGUUUAGAGCUCGACGGUUCAACGGUCUUCACGAUCCGCCUUUGUUGAGAAACUUCCUCAAGGGCUUUGUUGUCUUCAAGAGGUUCUUGAUGAACCUUCGAUAAAAUCUGAUACCACCCGUUUUCGGAACUACUUGCACAACACUCACCCAUUCACCAUCGGAGAUAGAACAAAUCAAUCAUUAGUCCAUCAUCAAUAUCAAUCAUCAUUCGGGCCGUUUUCAUGAAUGGUCUUCCAAGAAUUAUAGGAACCUCACGAUCCUCAUCCAUGUCUACUAUCACAAAAUCUACCGGAAACAAGAAUUUUUCCACCUUCACUAACAUGUCUUGAGCAACUCCAUAUGGUGAAGUAGUAGACUUAUCAGCUAGUUGUAAAGUCAUCCUUGUAGAUUUGAUCUCAACAUUUCCCAAUAUUUUGACAAUGGAUAGGGGAAUUAAAUUAAUGCUAGAUCCCAAGUCAAUCAAGCCAUUACCAAUAUAGGUGUCUCCAAUGGUUACCGGUAAAACGACUCGGCGCGGAUCAGAUUCCUUCCUUGGGAGAUUCUUUUGAAUGAUGGCACUACAACGUGCAUCGAGCAAGAUUGUCUCGUCUUCCACAUGUCUUCUUUUCUUUGUGAGAAUAUCCUUCAUGAACUUUGCAUACCGUGACAUUUGCUCUAAUGCAUCAGCAAAUGGAAUAUUGAUUUGAAGUUGUUUGAAUAUGUCCAUAAACCGUGCAUAGUGUCUAGCAUUAUCCUUCUUUGAUGGUGCGUGCGGAUAAGGUAAAUGUUGAACUGGAAUGACAUUCACUCCUUUGUCUCUUGUUUUCUUUUUUCUUGGUUUAAUUUCCUUCUUCAUUUCCGCUUCACACUGCUGUUCUUCCAUCAAUUGCUGAUUCUGCUGUUUUCACGGCGCGAACUGAGCAGUUUGUGCCACUUUCUCCUUCCCACAAGCCACAUCCUCAUUUUCCAGCACAUCAUCCAUAUCAUUCUCAAUUGUAAUUUCCUCACUUUUUUUACUUGUCAACUCUCUACCGCUUCUAGUAAAAAUUGCUUUACAAUGCUCCUUUGGAUUAGUUUGAGUGUUAGCGGAGAAAGAAGAUCCUGCAGUUUGUUCCGACAGUACAAUGCUCCUUUGGAUUAGUUUGAGUGUUAGCGGAGAAAGAAGAUCCUGCAGUUUGUUCCGACAGUUGUUUCGCAAGUUGACCUAUUUGAUUUUCCAAAUUCUUGAUUGCUGCCUCGUUGCUCUUCUCAUUUGCCAUGGAGGCUUGCAUGAAUUGUUGGAGAGUGUCUUCUAGCUUUGAAUUUCCUCCUUGCGAUUGUUGUCCUUGAGAAUUUGGGUGUUAAUAAGGACUUUGCUGCUGAAAACUUUGGUUGUUGAACCUUGAUGGUUGAUAACCUUGAUUGUUCCUUUGAUAGCCUUGAUUUUGAUUGUUCACAUAGCUCACUUCUUCUAGUGGAGGGCAAAAACCAGUCGGAUGAUCUCCUUGGCAUAAUUCGCAACAUGCUACUUGAUGUCGAACUUGAGACCCUUGAAUUUCCUUCAUUUGCUGUGGAAGCUUGGCCAUUUGUUGAGUAAGCAACUCCACUUGUUGAGAGAGUAGCUUGUUUUGAGUAAGAAUGGCAUCAUUGGUAUUUAACUCAAGAACUCCCGAUUUCCGUUGUGAAGGGCUACGGUCAUGUUGACUUCGACGAUCAUUAAGUGCCAUCCGAUCAAUAAUGACUUUAGCUUCUUCAGCAUUCUUUGACAUAAGAGAGCCACCCGCGGUAGCAUCCAAAAGUGUUCUGUGAGUUGAUUGGAGCCCAUUUAGAAAAAUAUGGAUUUGAGUGAGCUCAUCAAAACCAUGACCCUUGCAUUUUCUCAACAUUGACUUGAAUCUUUCCCAAGCCUCAUUUAAAGACUCGUUGCUUCCUUGAGUGAAUACCGCAAUAGCCGUUUUGGCUUCCAUGAAUCGGGAUUGAGGGAAAUAUCUUUCUAAGAACUUUUCUUCUANNNNNNNNNNNNNNNNNNNNNNNNNNNNNNNNNNNNNNNNNNNNNNNNNNNNNNNNNNNNNNNNNNNNNNNNNNNNNNNNNNNNNNNNNNNNNNNNNNNNNNNNNNNNNNNNNNNNNNNNNNNNNNNNNNNNNNNNNNNNNNNNNNNNNNNNNNNNNNNNNNNNNNNNNNNNNNNNNNNNNNNNNNNNNNNNNNNNNNNNNNNNNNNNNNNNNNNNNNNNNNNNNNNNNNNNNNNNNNNNNNNNNNNNNNNNNNNNNNNNNNNNNNNNNNNNNNNNNNNNNNNNNNNNNNNNNNNNNNNNNNNNNNNNNNNNNNNNNNNNNNNNNNNNNNNNNNNNNNNNNNNNNNNNNNNNNNNNNNNNNNNNNNNNNNNNNNNNNNNNNNNNNNNNNNNNNNNNNNNNNNNNNNNNNNNNNNNNNNNNNNNNNNNNNNNNNNNNNNNNNNNNNNNNNNNNNNNNNNNNNNNNNNNNNNNNNNNNNNNNNNNNNNNNNNNNNNNNNNNNNNNNNNNNNNNNNNNNNNNNNNNNNNNNNNNNNNNNNNNNNNNNNNNNNNNNNNNNNNNNNNNNNNNNNNNNNNNNNNNNNNNNNNNNNNNNNNNNNNNNNNNNNNNNNNNNNNNNNNNNNNNNNNNNNNNNNNNNNNNNNNNNNNNNNNNNNNNNNNNNNNNNNNNNNNNNNNNNNNNNNNNNNNNNNNNNNNNNNNNNNNNNNNNNNNNNNNNNNNNNNNNNNNNNNNNNNNNNNNNNNNNNNNNNNNNNNNNNNNNNNNNNNNNNNNNNNNNNNNNNNNNNNNNNNNNNNNNNNNNNNNNNNNNNNNNNNNNNNNNNNNNNNNNNNNNNNNNNNNNNNNNNNNNNNNNNNNNNNNNNNNNNNNNNNNNNNNNNNNNNNNNNNNNNNNNNNNNNNNNNNNNNNNNNNNNNNNNNNNNNNNNNNNNNNNNNNNNNNNNNNNNNNNNNNNNNNNNNNNNNNNNNNNNNNNNNNNNNNNNNNNNNNNNNNNNNNNNNNNNNNNNNNNNNNNNNNNNNNNNNNNNNNNNNNNNNNNNNNNNNNNNNNNNNNNNNNNNNNNNNNNNNNNNNNNNNNNNNNNNNNNNNNNNNNNNNNNNNNNNNNNNNNNNNNNNNNNNNNNNNNNNNNNNNNNNNNNNNNNNNNNNNNNNNNNNNNNNNNNNNNNNNNNNNNNNNNNNNNNNNNNNNNNNNNNNNNNNNNNNNNNNNNNNNNNNNNNNNNNNNNNNNNNNNNNNNNNNNNNNNNNNNNNNNNNNNNNNNNNNNNNNNNNNNNNNNNNNNNNNNNNNNNNNNNNNNNNNNNNNNNNNNNNNNNNNNNNNNNNNNNNNNNNNNNNNNNNNNNNNNNNNNNNNNNNNNNNNNNNNNNNNNNNNNNNNNNNNNNNNNNNNNNNNNNNNNNNNNNNNNNNNNNNNNNNNNNNNNNNNNNNNNNNNNNNNNNNNNNNNNNNNNNNNNNNNNNNNNNNNNNNNNNNNNNNNNNNNNNNNNNNNNNNNNNNNNNNNNNNNNNNNNNNNNNNNNNNNNNNNNNNNNNNNNNNNNNNNNNNNNNNNNNNNNNNNNNNNNNNNNNNNNNNNNNNNNNNNNNNNNNNNNNNNNNNNNNNNNNNNNNNNNNNNNNNNNNNNNNNNNNNNNNNNNNNNNNNNNNNNNNNNNNNNNNNNNNNNNNNNNNNNNNNNNNNNNNNNNNNNNNNNNNNNNNNNNNNNNNNNNNNNNNNNNNNNNNNNNNNNNNNNNNNNNNNNNNNNNNNNNNNNNNNNNNNNNNNNNNNNNNNNNNNNNNNNNNNNNNNNNNNNNNNNNNNNNNNNNNNNNNNNNNNNNNNNNNNNNNNNNNNNNNNNNNNNNNNNNNNNNNNNNNNNNNNNNNNNNNNNNNNNNNNNNNNNNNNNNNNNNNNNNNNNNNNNNNNNNNNNNNNNNNNNNNNNNNNNNNNNNNNNNNNNNNNNNNNNNNNNNNNNNNNNNNNNNNNNNNNNNNNNNNNNNNNNNNNNNNNNNNNNNNNNNNNNNNNNNNNNNNNNNNNNNNNNNNNNNNNNNNNNNNNNNNNNNNNNNGGUGAAAAGAUAUCUUCGGCAAAUAUUUUUAUACGUAUCCACAGAGAUUGGUUGAUAUUACCGCCGUUCUAUAAUCCGAUUUGUUAUAAGUUUAGAAAGUAACAAAGUUGUUUUGGUUGGAAAAUUAUCUUGUGAGUAAAUGUCACUAAAAACAGUAAAAUGGUUUUAAUCAAAUGCAAAAGCUUGGCAAGAUUGGAGUUCAAUAUUUCAAAUGCUUAUGAUUCUUUAUGAUAACUAUAUAGAUUUAAGAUUAUUGAUGAUGUUCAAGUAUCCUCUCAAAGUCAUUUAUGUCUAAAUGAUAUUAUGAUAAUCACUAUAUUGAUCCUUAGACGAUCUCUCCACCUAACUAUCAAUAUAUCAAUCUUUAAUGUUUAAUACCAAAGAAGAGUAAUGAAUAAAUCUAUCUCUACAACUUAUUCACUACUUGAAAGUCUAUUUUAUGUCAAGACUCAAAUAAUCUCUUUCAACAACUACUCAAAUCUGGUUUUCAACUUAGGGCAAAAACAAUAUUCAAUACAUCAACAAUCUUUUUCAUAUAUAAAAAUCAAAUGGAAUACAUAAACAAAUGAGAAUAGCUACUACCUCCAAUCUUGACAAAAUGGAGUUUAGCUCCUCAUCAUCAUUGUUACAAAGCAUAAUGUUAAAAAAUGGAAGAAAAACUCUGUUUUUCUCUCUUACAAAAAUAUCUCAAUGUAUCAAUGUGUGAAUAAUUAUGAAUAAUGUGUUUUUCUCCUAAAAGAGUUGACAUUUCCUUAAUUGAUCAUUUCCAUCCAAAGCAGAAAAGCUAUUCCAAGACAAACACCAAAAUGGCAAGACAGCUGGUCAUGAAGGACAGCAGUUUUGGCCCAAAAUCAACUUGCUAGAUUCGCAGCCUUCGCGGCGCGAAGUAGGUUCGCGGCGCGAACUGAAGCUUAUCCAGCUUCCUUGCUUUGCAAGCUUCAUCCAAAAUCUUCCAAUUUGUGAUGUUUCUUUCCAAAAGCUCUUUCAUCUAAAACUUCUACAAAACUAACAAAUUUGUGAAAUAACUAUUCAAAGCAAAAUAAAUUAAAUCUAAUUGCAUUUAUACCAAUUAACAAGAAUACUAGUGUGUAAUUACAUCAAAGUUUGGUAAAAGGGACCAAUAAAAUGAUAUAAAAAGUAGUACUAAUUGGUCCCUAACAGUACGUAGGCACAAGUCCGAAGGUCUUGUCAGACAUAAAAAUAUAAUUAAUGAAUUCCUUUCUCAUCCCCUCACUCUAUUUAUUACAAACAUCAUUUUAUACCAAAACACGCACACACAUAAAAAGGGCUCCCUAGGAGUACCUAGGACACUUUGGGUGCUAACACCUUCCCUCUGUGUAACCAACCCCCUUACCUGUAAUCUCUGGCAUUUUAUUAGUUUUGAUUUGAAAACUUCUUAUCUUUGGGUUUUGUUUGUACUUUUCCCUUUUCCCUUGGAAACAAUAAAAGCGUGGUGGCAACUCUGGUUUUAUUGACGUUAAGUUUAUCCAUAGCUUAAUGGUCAUGAAUUUACCGCUACANNNNNNNNNNNNNNNNNNNNNNNNNNNNNNNNNNNNNNNNNNNNNNNNAAAGCAGAAAAGCUAUUCCAAGACAAACACCAAAAUGCGAAGACAGCUGGUCAUGAGGACAGCAGUUUUGCCCAAAAUCAACUUGCUAGAUUCGCAGCCUUCGCGGCGCGAAGUAGGUUCGCGGCGCGAACUGAAGCUUAUCCAGCUUCCUUGCUUUGCAAGCUUCAUCCAAAACUUCCAAUUUGUGAUGUUUCUUUCCAAAAGCUUCUUCAUCUAAAACUUCUACAAAAACUAACAAAUUUGUGAAAUAACUAUUCAAAGCAAAAUAAAUUAAAUCUAAUUGCAUUUAUACCAAUUAACAGAAUACUAGUGUGUAAUUACAUCAAAGUUUGGUAAAAGGGACCAAUAAAAUGAUAAAAAGUAGUACUAAUUGGUCCCUAACAGUACGUAGGCACAAGUCCGAAGGUCUUGUGACAUAAAAAAUAUAAUUAAUGAAUCCUUCUCAUCCCUCACUCUAUUUAUUACAAACAUCAUUUAUACCAAAACACGCACACACAUAAAAAGGCUCCCUAGGAGUUACCUAGGACACUUUGCGGUGCUAAACACCUUCCCUCUGUGUAACCAACCCCCUUACCUGUAAUCUCUGGCAUUUUAUUAGUUUUGAUUUGAAAACUUCUUAUCUUUGGGUUUUGUUUGUACUUUUCCCUUUUCCCUUGGAAACAAUAAAAGCGUGGUGGCAACUCUGGUUUUAUUGACGUUAAGUUUAUCCAUAGCUUAAUGGUCAUGAAUUUACCGCUACAAAUGCUUGUUGCUGAUACGACUGUUGUUAUGAUGGGUACUAUUGUUGAGGUUGAUAUUAUUGUUGAUUAUGAUAUUGUUGUGGUUGAUUAUGGUAUUGAAUGGAAUCCUGAUUUUGAAAGUCCCCUUGCUGAUCUUUCCAAGAGAAAUUUGGAUGAUUCUUCGAGCUUGGAUUAUAAGUGUUAGAAUAAGUGUUGUUCUGCUUCAGAAAAUUUAUCUCUUCAAUUUUUUGCACGGUUGUAACACUUUGGAUGGAAAAAUGGAUUCCCCCAUAGAUCUCACAAUUAAUAGCUUGAACAGGUUGAACUUGGGCCACUUGUUGAGUACCUAUAUUCAUUGCCUUAAGUUUUUUCUCAACUUCAGCAACAACUUGGUCUUCCAUCUUCACACUUUGAUUAGUAAGUUUCAAAUUGAUCACACCCUCAGGUCGGCUCACACUUCUAUCAUAUAAUUCUAGUUGUUCAUUUGCAACAAUGGCUUCUAUGAUCUUCAUGAUACUAGUGGUUGUUGUAAAGUUGAAUGAUCCACCAGCAGUUGUAUCAAUUAGUUGUUUAGUCUUCAAUUUGAGGCCAUUAACAAACAUUUGCAUCUGUUCAGUCUGAUCCAAGUUAUAAGUAGGACAAGCAACCAAUAACCUUUUAAAUAUCUUAUAAGCAUCACCUAGUGAUUCACCCUCCUUCUACUUAAAAUCCAGAAUAUCAUAUCUUUUUUGAAUAUAAACAGAAGUAUGAAAGUAUUCAUUCAUAAAAGUUGUUUCCAUCUGUUCCCAUGUAGUGAUACUUCCAGCUGGCAAUGAGUAAAACCAUUCUUCAACAUCUUCAGAUAGAGUGAACAAAAACAUUCACAAUUUUUUUGCUUCUUCAGAGUGCCCAUCUAUCUUCAAAGUAGUGCUCAUAGUAAGAAACCUAUGCAGAUGUUUAUUUGCAUCUUCAUUUAUUUUACAUGUAAAAGGCCUCUUCUAAAGCUAACAGAUGGUUGUAGGAUGAAACUGAAAAUUUAGGACAUUCACUAGUUAAUUCACUAUAGUCACAUGACCCUCGGGGCGUUUUCUCCUCCAUAAUCCCCAAGAAGUCUUUCUAGUGGUUUAUCCAUAACUUAAUCUUCUCUCUCUUUGUCAGAUUCUGUAUCUGAAUGCUCAGAAACUUCAAUCUCUUUUUCUUAUUCGGAAUCUAAAAUUUCUACUUCAGAGGCUUCCAACCUUGCUUCCCUAGCUUGUUUGAGCCUAGCGUGCAAAGUUCUUUCUAGUUUUGCAUCAAAAGUAAAAUCAGCCGAGGGCUUUCCUCGCAUACAAAGAUUAGACAAAGAUUAGUAAUAACCCAAAAAUAGACAUAAAAAUAAAAAUAAAAACUAAAAUUUAAAAUUUUAGUUGCAGAACAACAAAAUUUUAACUGAAAUAGAUCUAUGAACUCUAUAAUCUUUGGCAGUCCCCAACAACGGUGCCAAAAACUUGAUCGAUAAAUUGGCAAGUGUAUGAAUCUGCCAAUGUAGUAAUAAGAAGGGAAAUCCCUAGUAUCGAUCUUAAGGAUUGUUUGACGAUACAAAGUUCUGGAUAAAUUUCAGUUAAACAAAAUCCUUGGGGUUUGUGGAUUGAUUGGUUAAAUUAUGAAUAGAAUGCAAAUAAAGUUAACAAAGUAAUUGCAUGGUUUAGAAAGGCAUGAUUAAUAUGCUAGGGAUAAUGUAUGAUUCAAUUAUUUGACGAUUCUGAACUCACAAUGCAACAACAUAUUCCAGAUAAUUGACUACCAGUUCUUACAAGUGUUUACUCCUAAGUCCUUAGGGAGAAAGCCUUUAAUCAUUCUACCUAACUCCUAUAUCCAUAGAAAAGUACAAAUGAAAUUAAGCAUUAAUUUGUCAAGAAUAAUCCGGUUCUUAUAGGGUAUUCUUAGUCCUAGGUAACAUCUACUAUAAAAUAUUCUCAAGCAGAUUAGUAAUAAUGGUUGUCUAGCUUAAUUAUUACUCAUAAAUCAAACUCCAUUUAUCCGACAAAGAAAGCAUUAAAAUAUUCAAGAGAAUAAAUCAAAUAUGAUGAAAUAAAAUUGUUAUUGCAAAGAGGAAUUCGAAGUCAUUACAGUGACACCCCCUAGCAUUUAUGGGUUUAGCUACUCAUAGAAAUAAAACAAAACAUGAUAAAUAAUGUUUCCAUUGUAGAAAUUUUAGACGAGUUGAUCAUAAAUCGCAAAAAGCUCCUGAAAAUCUGAGUUCUCCAGCCUUCAAAACAUGUUUUUGCCUUCCAAAAUUGUCCAACCCGUGAAAAUUUGUGUUUUCUAGUUAAAUAGACAUUGUUUUCGGGCCUUCAACAAUUUGGGCCUUCAUACGCGUAUUUCCCAAGUCCGUAUGCGUGUGGCCUUGCUCUUGGCCCUACCAGAUAUGCGUAAGCCAACAUGGUUUCCCCAAGGUAGGUCCCAUAUGUGUAUCAUCAGUGUAUGGGAAGAAUCCCCCAUUUCCUCCCCUUUGUUGGUCCUCGUAUAAUACGGGGAAGGAUUCAGGUCCAUACGCAUAUGGACAUAAGCAUGUUCUUUUUCUCCUCUCUGCUGGUCUAUGUGUGCUACGCGUAAGGGUCUAUGGCCAUACGCGUAUGGGUAGAGCCAUAAUCUUUUUUUCUUUUUCUUCUUCUUCCUUGAUCUGGCCCGAUCUUUUCUCUGAUGCUAACUUCCCUUUUCCUUUUAUCCUGCAUCCAACAUGUCACACAUACCAAAAAGACGUAAAAAUAGCCAAAAGAAACUCAAACUAUAAAAAUAAUGUCUUGGCACAAUCUAACUCGAAAGAUCAAACAUUAAGACCAAAAGUAUACAGUUCACCUGGAUUUUUGAUGGAUAAACGAUGAAAGCUAUAACACAAAUGAUGAUUGAUCAAUCAGAUACAAUUUUUACACCGUCGUGCUAAAACCGAUAUCUGAGUACUUUCGCUGUCACGCAAAUAUUUUUGAAUUUUUUGAAGCAAAAUUUAUGGUGAACGCCAUGAGUACAAAAUUUGAAGAACGUGGUGUUAGAACAAGAUUUGGUUCAGCAUCUAUACCUUGAGCUUUGAUAUUAACAAUGUUGUAUUUGUGUGAGAACAAUUUUGGUACCCUAAUGGUUUGUUAUCGUGUAACUUUAACAGUCAAUUCUGAUUUUGAGUAUAUGACGUGUAACGUCAUUAGUUUUUGAACAUAGUGUUAGAAAUUCUGCUUCUGCAUUAAUCAUGAAAAGUUCCAAAAGAUGUCAAGUUGAUGCUGCAAUGUUCUUUUUGCUUCUAUGCUGAUUCACUCCUGAGGAGUUUCUGGAAAUAUGCUAUGUUGCUGCUACAAUGUUCUCUCUGUUUCUGCUUCUGGAUGUGACUCUGGUCAUCCAACUUAUGAAGAAUCGCAAGCUUAUAAAGUUUUGUUACUUAGCUGAAGAUUCUGAAGAUCUCAACCCAUACGUUGAGGUUAUCAAGGUUCUGACUGAAGAGUCUGAAUAUUAUGAAGAUCUCAGGCUAGAUUACUAAUGUUGUCAAGGUUCUGAUAUAAGAUUAUGAAGUUUCUGAAUCCAGCUAUAUGUUUCUUUGUUUCUUGCUUAAUCAACUAUUCAUCAGAAGCCAAUGAAUUUUAAGAUAAGAUCAAAAUAGAUUUUGGAGACUUGAAGAAAAGACUACUACAACAAGUUCGUAAGACUGUUUUUAACGUGAAAAAGAUCUAAACUUAGUUCAUACUUUUCUUUAAGUAUUUGUUUUUCAUUUGUGUAAAAUAUGCUUGUGCAGAAGCAACUUAUAAACACAAAACUUUAUUCAAACAUGUCGUUUGUAAUUCCUUAAGGAGACUAGGGUAUAGUCGGAUCCUUGAGUAGAAAAAGAAGGUUAUUCUUUGUGAUUAUUAUAAUCAUUUAGUUAUAGUGGAUUAAGUCCUUAUGUAUAAUACAAAAUCACCUUGGCGGAUGGAAUGGAGUAGCUUUGAGUUUCAAGUGAACCAAGAUAAAAAUGCUUUCGUUUUUAUCUCUUUGUUUUUAGUAUUUGUGUGGUGUUCUUCAGUUGGAAAAAAACUAUUGUUUUUAAAACCCAGUUCAAACUCCCCAUUUCUUGUGUUUUUCACACCUUCAAUUGGCAUUAGAUCUCAGAUUCUGAUAGUUAUAAAGUUUUUAUGAACACUUCACCGUGUUUAGUACUGAUCCAAUGUGUGUGAGAAAUAAUGGCCGCUGCUAACAACAACAUUGUCGCUACUAACUACAAUGAGAUGGGUCACUACAGUGCUAAACCACCAAUAUUUGAUGGUGAGAUGUUUGAUUACUGGAAAGAUAGAAUCGAAAGUUUCUUCUUUGGAUAUGAUAUUGAUCUCUGGGAUCUUGUAGUCAAUGGCCAUGUUCACCUAGUUAAUGUUGAAGGAAAUAAUAUAGCAAGAAAUGCUAUGACUGAUCAACAAAAGAAGGAUUUCAAAAAUCAUCAUAAGGCUAGAACGAUAUUUCUUCAUGAUAUCUCUUAUACUGAGUAUGAGAGGAUAACUAACAGAGACUCUUCUAAGUCUAUUUUUGAUUCCUUUAGAAUGACUCAUGAAGGGAAUGCUCAAGUAAAUGAGACAAAGGCUUUGGCCUCAAUCCAUAAGUACGAAGCAUUUAGAAUGGAAGAUGAUGAAACCGUUGAGACUAUGUUCUCAAGAUUUCAGAUGCUUGUUGCAGGCCUGGAAGUUUUGGACAAAGGAUACUCUAUGGUUGACCAUGUCAAGAAGAUAAUCAGAAAUCUCCCUAAAAAACGGAGACUAUGGUAACUACUUUGAAGUUGGAAAAUGAUCUUAACAAUAUUAGUCUUGAAGAACUUGUUAGUUCUUUGAGAAGCCAUGAGAUAUAACUCGAGGAAGAUGAACCUUAGAAGAGAGGUAAAUCUGUUGCUUUAAAGUCUAAGCCUGAGAAGAUAAGAGCUUAUAAAGAUGAGUAAGAAUAAAAAGUUUCUAAUGAAGAUUCAGAAGAUGAUGAUGAGUUGUCUUUGAUUUCCAAGAGGGUCAACAGACUCUGGAGGCAUAAGAAGAAUGGUCAAGGAAAGUUCAGAGGAGCUAGGAGGACUGUUGGUCAUUCUAAUUCUUCGUCUGGACAAAAGAAGCAAGGUUCUGGUAAAGAGGUUAUCUACUUUGAGUGCAAGGAACCAAGACACUACAAGAAUGAGUGUCCUAAGCCGAAAAAGGACAUAAGGCAUAAGAAUAAGUUUUCUAAAGGCAAGAAGGUGUCGAUGGCUACAUGGGAUGACCCAAAAUCUGAAGAAGAAGAUUCUGAUGAAGAACAUGCCAAUGUUGCAUUGAUGGCAACUAUAGCUGAUCCACAAGGUUCUGAAGAACCAGAGGACAAGAUGUUGUUAGAAUCAGAAUCAGACUCCAAUUCUGAAGCGAUAUUUUAUGAACUAUCUUGUUCUGAUUAAGAGUCAUAUCUCUAUGAAAUACUGAACGAGUACUAGAGUCUUUAAACUAAGUACAAUGACCUUAAACAAGUCCAAGUAGUUGCUUUUGAAACUCGUAGUGAGCUUGAGAAAGAUAUUUCUUCCCUAAAUGAAAAAAUAUUUUCAAUGCUUUGAAAAGUAAAAUUUCAAAACUAGAGGAAGAAAUAGUCUUAGAAGCUUCUGGUACUGAUUGCAUCAUUAGAUAUGAUAGAGCAUUCUAGUACUUUCUGGCUAAAAGCAUAUAUAAAAGUAAAAUGGCUUCCUUGAUCUAUAGAGUUAGCAAAAAUGGAAAGAAAGGUUUAGGUUAUACAUAAACUAUAAAACCCGACGAAAGUCAGAAGGUUAUAUUGAAACCUCUCUAUGAGCAUAUCGUGUCUGCUGGCACGGAGCUUGAUUUUUCUACAUAUACACAAAGACUUACACAGGAUAAGAACUCAGUUCUGAAACCGAAGUAUCAUGCACAAAUUUCACUUGAUUAUCCUAUUUCACAAAGACCCAAGAGUGUAAGAAACUCUAGGAAAACUAACAAGAGAGGACCCAUAAAGUGGUUACCUUAGGAUAAGAUCAUAUAUGUUGAAGACAUCCUUAGCAGCUCAGUUGAAACACCAGUUAUGGUACCUGGACAAUGGAUGCUUGCGACAUAUGACGGUUAGAAGGUCAAUGUUCCAAGAUUUGGAACUUAAUAUUAGAGGCUUCGUUGGUUUCGGAGGAAACCAGAACGGGAAGAUCAUUAGCUCCGGAACUGUUGGUAACAAUAAACUUCCAUCUAUUACUAAUGUUCUUUUGGUGGGUGGUUUGAUGCAUAACUUAUUGUCUAUUAGUCGACUUAGUGACAAUGGUUAUGACAUCAUUUUUAAUCAAAAGUCAUGUAAGGUUUUUAGUCAAAAAGAUGGUACAAUCCUUUUUAACGGAAAGAGAAAGAAUGACAUUUAUAAAAUCAGACUUUCUGAUCUUAAGGGUCAAAAUGUAAAAUGCCUAAUGUCUGUUAAUAAGGAGCAAUGGGUAUGGCAUAAACGUUCGUGGCAUGUUAGCAUGAUAAGGUUUUCUCAGCUAAAUAAGCUUGGAUUAGUCAGAGGCUUACCCAACCUAAAGUUCGCUUUAGAUGCUCUUUGUGAAGCAUGUCAGAAAGGCAAGUUUUCUAAAACAUCUUUCAAAGUGAAAACUGUUGUUUCUACAUCUAGACCGUUAGAACUUAUGCACAUUGAUUUGUUUGGGCCAGUGAAAACUGCCUAUAUCAGUGGUAAGAAGUAUGGAUUGGUCAUCAUUUAUGACUAUAUUCGUUGGACAUGGGUAAAGUUCUUGAAACACAAUGAUGAGUCACAUUCUAUGUUCUUUACUUUCUGCUCACAGGUGCAAACAGAGAUGGAUUGCAAAAUAGUCAAAGUCAGAAGUGAUCAUGGUGGAGAAUUUGAAAAUAAACAUUUUGAAAGUAUUUUUGAUGCAAAUAGAAUUUCCCAUGAUUUCUCCCGUCCUAGAACUCCAUAGAAAAAUGGGGUUGUAGAAAGGAAGAGUAGGACUUUGCAAGAAAUGACUCGCACCAUGAUCCAAGAGAUUGAUAUGGCUAAGAAUUUCUGGGCAGAAGCAGUUAACGUAACUUGUUAAAUUCAGAACAUGAUUUCUAUUAGACCUAUUCUAGGUAAGACUCCCUAUAAAUUAUGGAAGAACAGAAAGCCCAACAUUUCUUACUUCCAUCCUUUUGGCUAUGAGUGUUUUAUGUUGAACACUAAAGAGAAUCUUGGCAAGUCUGAUUCUAAGGCACAAAAGUGCUUAUUGUUAGGAUAUUAUGAACGCUCAAAAGGCUACAAAGUCUUUAAUAGUGAGACACAAGUUAUCGAAGAAUCAAUUCAUGUAAGAUUCAAUGAUAAGCUUAACCCUGAAAAGUCAAAGCUAGUAGAGAAAUUUGUAGAUAUGAAGAUUAAUUUCUCAGAAUCUGAAGAUAAAGACUCAGAAGGUAAAGCCAAGGACGCUGAAGCAAAACACUCGUAAGUGACUCAACCAGAAGCCAUUGUUGGUCCAAAUAAGAAGAAGAGUUGAUCAAGAACUUCUCAUUCUGAAGAAUUGAUUCUAGGAGAUAAAGACGCACCAGUCAAAACUCGAUCUUCAUUCAAACCUUUUGAAGAAACUGUUCUGGGUUUGGUAUCUCUAAUAAAGCUCAUAUCUAUUGAUGAAGCUCUUCUGGAUAAUGAUUGGAUUUUGGCUAUGCAAGAAGAACUAAAUCAAUUCACCAGGAAUGACAUCUGGGAUCUUAUUCAGAAACCAAAGGGUUUCCAUGUCAAUGGAACCAUAUGGGUUUUUAGAAACAAGCUCAAUGAGAAGGGCGAAGUCAUCAGAAUCAAGGUUCGACUAGUAGCAAAAGGUUAUAGUCAACAAGAAGGUAUAUACUAUAUAUAAACCUUUGCUCUAUUUUCCAGGCUAGAGUUUAUUCAUUUUUUAAUUUCAUUUGUAGUCAAUCAUAUCGUCAUUCUUUAUCAGAUGGAUGUUAAGAGUGCAUUCUUAAAUGGGUACAUUUCUGAAGAAGUGUAUGGGCACUAACCCUUGGUUUUGAAAGUUUCCAAAACCAUGAUUUUAUUUUCAAACUCAAAAAGUCGUUAUAUGGUAUGAAACAAGCUCCCAGAGCUUGGUAUGAUAGACUAAUCAACUUCCUUUUGGAAAAUGAUUUUACUAGAGGUAAAGUGGACACUAAUCUCUUUUGAAAAACCAUUAAGAAUGAUAUCCUGGUUGUCAUACCCCAAUUUUGUUCGGGCAUUUUUAAAUUUUUGUAAAUUUCGAUUUCACUUUUUUUUUUAUAUCAUAUGCACAACAUGACAUGCAUUUCAUCAUGAAUAAUAUCUAAAAUAUCAGUCAGAAUAUAAUAUUGAAAAUACAAACAAAUUGGUUAAAUCGUUUCUCAAGUACGUGCAAAAUCAGCGGGUAAAAAGUUUCAAAAUUAAAAUUACAGACGUCAGUAUCAUUAACCUACUGUUCACGUAGUUUAUUGGUGUGCUCCUUGUAUUUUUCAGGGACUGUUUCGGCUGCGUUUUGACCCGCCUGAGCCUUUUAAUCGGUGACAAUUUAUUUUAGAAUUUGAAGAAACGCUGUAUUUUUUCAAUAAGUGUAUUUUGUGGUGAUCAUUUUGGUGCACCCGAUUUAAUUUUUCGAGCAAAUUUUUACCCGACUUUUUUUGCAUAAUCAGUCAUUUUAUUUUUAUCCUUUCGCCAAAACAUUCAGAAAAUUGAGAUUUCCAUGUCUUCAUUUUAUUUUUACCAUAUUCAUUUUAGAAGUUGUGGAUUUAAAUUUGAUUUCAUUUAUCUAAAUUGUUUUAAGUCAAUUGAACCAUCUAGAAGGGGCACCUUUGAUAUUUUUAGAAUUAGUUAGCAUUUGUGUUUCUUUGGUUUAAUCUCGAUCGUUAAAUCGAGAUUAAUCAAAGGUCUAUAAUAGUUAUCCAUGUGUGUUUCUAUUUACCAAUAAUAAAAUCAAAUAAUAAUAAUAUUAAUAAUAAAGAGAAAAAAUCAAUUUAUGGUUGUGCAAAUAAGGAUAGGUGGCGUUGGAUUAUUGACUCCUUUUUCUUAAAUUUAGAAAAAAGAAAAAUGCUAAAAAUACUACCCUUUAGGAUUUUUUUCGGUGGCCUCUCGGAUCACUCUCAAACAAAAUUCAUAACAACUCAUUAUUGGCCAGGAGAAAAUGAGCUAUCUCCACUCACAGCUGGAAACAGAAUCCACUCUCUUUCUCUCUCUCAAAAAACAACUCUGAAAAGAAAGAAAAAAAAAGAAUAGAUAUAUCUCAACGAGUACACAAAAGGACAAAAAAAUCUCAUUCUGAAAAAAGACGUUACAUCCAUUUAAAUUUCUCUCUCUCACCACUCAUAAAAGAGCUACCCACUCACCUAACUUUCAGAAUCUCUCUCACGGGUUCCUCACAUUACAAAAAGAUAAAAGGAAAAAGGAAAUUAAAAAAGGACUGACAAAAAACUCUCUCACCUGAUACCAUUCCUUCUCUCUCGUAAUAACCCUCUCUCUCUGACUUCAAAAAGGCAACGAAAAAAAGAAAAAAAAUAAAUUGAGAGGACUCUUCCUCUUAUUCGGAAUCUUAUCACUCUUCACCAUCGGACCGCCUUCAACAACCUCUGUCGUCGAAAACCUCACUGCCAUAAUCGUGCCACCCUUCACCCUCCUUCAAACUCUCCGUCGGCGAAAAACAGAAACACCGCGAGCCCCUUUUUCAACAUCGUCCAAACCCUUCGUCUUCGUUACAACCAUACACCGCCGUCUCCACCAUCCAAAUCCCAUCUCCGUCUUCACUCAACUCACAACCGCAACCAACAAACAACACCAUGAAACCGUUUUUGCGAAACGAAACUCAACGAAUCUCCUUCCUCACGAAAUCACCGUCGCCACCACCGACAUCUCACGGCUAUUCACAAUAAACCCUCACGACCGCCUCCGCUCCUCUCCCACACUUCCUUCGUGGCCACCGCGAAAGCCACCACGCGUCUUCUCCUUCACAUUCACGGAUGUCUUCUCCUUCCGAUGCCAGAUUCAAACGCAACACAAACAAACAACCAGCCGCUCUACAGCAAUAAGAGGAGCAUAGCACCAAAGGAAAUAACGCAGAAGGAUGGGUCUAGCCGCACUCCGUUUCCGUUAUAAUUUCAAGUUCAUUUCCGACGAACUCACAGUACUUCCAAUCACCCCAAGGUCGUCGAACCCGUAGGUAUAUCACUAUAAAUCUCAUGUUGAUUGGUUUAUUAUUUUUUUUGUUUUUUCCAAUUGGAGUAAGGUAGAGAUUAAAUCGAGGAUGCAAGGGUUUGUUUCAUCGGUCUUAAAGAUGAAAAAUAAUGUUCUGCAUUUUUAAAGAGCGAAAGAAAGCAUAGUGGAAAUUUCAAACUUAUUAUGAGCCUUGAUUUUCCUAAUGGUAAUGUAAAAGUUAAACUGGAUUUUUACGUUUUGUUACUUGUUUGUUUGACUGAACUUUUUUUUUAUAAUUAUUAUUACAUGACAAUAGAAUUAGUAUUUUGGUUGUAGAAAGAGUUGUCUGCAUAUAAUUCAUUAUGGUCUUGGUUUUCUUUUUAUCCAGGAAAGUUUUAGAUUCGAUCGAUAAUGCUUAAUAGUAUACAUUGAAUUCUUUCUUAAAUCACGUUUGGAAGGGUCCUGCAACUCUUUUUAUUUUUUUCAAACUUGGACAUCAUUGGUUUUAAAUGCUACUUUGUUUUAAUUAAUUGUAUUAGUAUCCCUUGUUCUAACUGAUUUAUUAGUUCACAACGUUACAACCAUUUUUCUCAAAUAUAUGGUUGGUUCUACUAUUAAAAUUUAAAUUAGAUUACUAAUUGCCUAAUGGAUUUUAUAUUGUAUAUAUAUAAAUCUGAUCCAAUCAUAUGGUGUUGUUGUUAACAUUCAGUUAAUAUGUUGUGUAUAACCUUGGCUGGUUUCUAUGUGGUUUCAAUUCCAUUAUGAUGAAGUUGGAAUUUCGACUUGCAAGUACGAGAUUUUUGAUGUUUUGAGCACAUUGUAUCCACCUUGUUUUAGUCACUUUUAAAUCAAAUUUGUUUUAAUUGAAUUGAUUGAUUAAUACAAAUUUUGUUUAAAUUACUUGGUUGUGAUGAUCGAUUACCUUGGAAAUUUUAGUUAAUCAAAUGAUUUUGAUUUUGAAUUUUGAUUGGGUCAAUUAGGUAGUUUGUUUAAAUUCCAAUCAAAUAACUUUAUUAAUUAAAUAUUGACCAAAUUAUUUUAUCACGAUGUCAACCUCUUCCAAACUCGAAUUGAUUUCAAUCUUAUCAAUUCGAAAUCAUUCACCCAUUCAAUAAAAACAUAAUUCUCGAUUCAAAGUCGAGCCCAUUUUUAAAUACCCUUGUAAGUCGAUAGCUUUUCGCAUCGCCAUCAACCUCACAUAGCUUUCUCUUGGGCUUUCUUAUUAUGAGACCUAGUCGAUUGUUAAUUGAUCGAUUAGAUGAUUGAUUCACUAAAUAAAAUCCACUUUAUUCACAAAACACAAACUUAAAACCUCGAUCCACCAUCAAGUAUUUCUAUUCAAAUUAUUAAGAUGCCCAAUCACAAUCAAAUACCAUUUCAUUUGGAAAUGAAAAGGGGGAUGGCUUUGAGUUUUCAAUUCCUUUCCUCGAUUAUUUGAAUAUGAGUUCUCUUAUUCGGUGAGUCAAAUAGUCGUCACUUCCAUCCACCUAAGCACAAACGAAUCGAAUCAUUUUUAUAAUAAGAAACAAAAAGGGAGAUGACUUUGAGUUUUCAAUUUUUUUCUCCUCGAUUAUUUGAAUACAAGUUCUCUUACUUGGUUAGUCAAAUAAUUAUCGUUCCUCUGCAAGCUUCCAAACCCCGAUUAAAUCAAAUUAUUUUCAUAAUAAGUUAAAUGAAAAGGGAGUUGACUUUAAGUUUUCAACUUCUCCUCAAUUGUUUGAAUACGAGUUCUCUUACUUGGUCAAUCGAACAAUUUUCAUUUUUCCACCAACAUAUAAGUUAAUCAAAUCAUUUCAUAAUAAACUAUACAAAAAUGGAGAUGGUCUUGAGUCUUUAAUUCCUCUUCUCAAAUGCUUGGAUAUGAGUUGUCUUACUCACCCAUUCAAGUACUUUGUCGUCUAUUCCAAAAUACAUCAACCAUACGCAAACCUAUUUUCAUAAUCACUCAGAUGAAAAAGAAAAUGGUCUAGAUUCUUCUAUUCCCUUUCUCGACUAUUAGGAUGCGAGUUGUCUUACUCGACUAUCCGAGUAUUCGUCAUCCAAUCAAAAACACCUUAAUCAUCAUUAAAAUCCUUUCACAAUUAAGGAUGAAAAAGAAAGCGGUCUAGAGUCUUCUAUUCCCUUUCCCGAUUAUUAGGAUACGAGUUGUCUUACUCGGCCAUCCGAGUAAUCAUCAUCCAACCAAAAAUAUCUUAACACAUCAAACUUAUCUUUCUCACCCUCGUGCGAUCGAAACCAGUCAAACAAAACAUUAAACACAUCAAUUCAACUCGUCACCCCCCGCGUGACCAAAACCCUUCUUUCAAAAAGAACACUGUCAAUCCUUUCUAAUGCGCACAACAAAUUAGUGCUAGAGCCUCCACCGAGAGUAGACAAGUCAAUGUUUAGCCUUUAGAACGCCGACCUACACAUUCGUUCAUAAAACAAAACACAUCAAUUAUUUGUAGUUCCCCGAACUACAAAUGCUCUGAUUUCCUUAUUACACCAUAAGGAUACGUAGGCGGGAGAUUGCUAUAUCUUCGCGAGCACACUAAUAAAAAACCUCCCUUUUCUCCCUUUUGAGGUCUUCAUCCAUAUAUAUUAUCAACUCUAAUUACUCGAAGAAAACAAACAACGCAAGUUAACACUCAAAUCUCAAAAUUGAACUAAAAGGUUCCCGUUGAGAACAAUGGACGUGAGGGGUGCUGAUACCUUCCCCUUGCGUAAUCCACUCCCGAACCCGAAUAUGGUUGCGACGACCAUUAUUCUAUUUUUCAAAGGUUUUAUCAAUAUUUUCCUAUUCCUUCAUUGGGAUAAAUAAAGUUCGGUGGUGACUCUGUUCGAACUAACAUUUUUCCACGUCCAUCGCGAGGGAUCACAUUUUUUCCGAGGUGCGAAAGCUGGCGACUCUGCUGGGGACAUGCUCCAAGCAAGAGAGAGUGAAGCCUAACUUUGUUUAAUUUUUGUAUUGGGUGUUAACCUUGUUUGUUUGAUUUUUUAUUCUGUUAUUAUUUUGUUGUAAUUAUUAUGUUGUGGUUUAUUUCCUAUGAUACUAUUGGGGUUCUCUGAUUGUUGGUACUUUGUGAGAUAGGCUUUCUACCCGAGUCUGAGAAAAACCAUAAGAUUAAGUUGGUGGUUGCGUAGUGGACGCCCACAAGGAGUCUUCCUUGUUGGGAAGAUACGAAGACCCCGCCUAGAGGAGAUUCUCUUGAGAUAUUAUUGUCCGACAAGCCUUCGUCACGGCGAUGGUGUUUCAAGUUGGAUCAAUGACUCUAGGGACCUUUUAACCCUAUAUCCGGAGGUUAUGUAGUAUUAACCUACGAAGUUUCAUACUUGUUAGGUUAAUACGAAAACCCCAAUCAGAUGAGAUCCCUUGGACGUAUUAUUACCUUACAGUAAUAUUUCCAACCUCGAUCUAUGACUCUAAGAACCUUGUUAGAACCUUGAACUCGAGAGUUGCGUAGUAUAAUCCCUAUGGAGCCUUCCUUGUUGGGACAAUACGAAGACCUCUCCUAAGAUGAGAUUAUCUUAGGGGUAUUACUGUCCGACGAGUCUUCGUCACGGCAGUGACGCUUUCAAUGAGAAUCGAUGACUCUGGGAACCAAUUAACUUUGGAGCCUACCCUUGGGAAUUUCAGUAAUCAGAGAAACCUCUACUUCUUCCUUUUAACUUGACGUACACGACGUGUGAAUGAUCUUGAGUAUUUCUAUUCCUUUGCGAAAACAUGGCAAAAUUUCAUGCAUUUGCAUAUCAUAAACAUGCAUUGCAUACCAUCUUCCAGAAACAAAAACUUACACCAUAUUCUACCCUUUGUCCAGUAACACUGACUACUCAACACCGGUACGAGACACGCCGCAACUACAGGAUGACACUCGAACAACUUGAAGCAAACCAGGUUUUAAUGAGGACAAACAUCGACUCCAUGCAAGCGAAGAUGGACCAUUUGCUUGAAACAAUGUUGCUCUUAGCCCAGAAGGAGAAGGAUGCUGAGACUAGCGCCGAUGCCAGAAAAGUUGCUACUCAGUUUGGAUCACCAUCACUUAGCAUCCAUGGAGUGAUUGACCAUGAUGGUAACCUUAAUCAUCUUAAAGGAGGACCGACCCCUAUUCCAUUCCCGAUGGUCAAUGUAAACCCCCAUGAGCAUUCUGCUACAUCUGCUCGACAUGGAUCCAUGAUGGGUGAUGAAGAUCCGUAUGACGCUUUCUUCAUGCCACAACCCGCCAAACCUGUUAUUGGAGGUCUCUUAGACCCAACUGUUGAGAGACUCCAUGCUUUAGAAGAGAAGUUCAAGUCCUUUGAGGUUCACACUACUCUCGGUUUGGACGUCGUUGAUAUGUGCCUAGUGCCAUGACUCGUGAUUCCACAAAAAUUCAAAGUCCCAUACUUUGACAUGUACAAAGGGAUCAGCUGCCCUAGAACUCACCUCAGAGCUUAUUGCCGCAAGAUGGCUGCCCACAUCGGUAAUGAUCAACUCUUGAUUCAUUACUUCCAAGAUAGCCUCAAUGGGGCAUCCUUGGAGUGGUAUAUGCAAUUAGAAAGAGGACAAGUCCAGUCAUGGAGAGACCUUGUUGAAGCCUUCCUUAGGCAUUAUCAAUACAAUAUUGAUCUAGCACCCAAUCGCACCCAGCUGCAAGACAUGACUCAACGCAACAAUGAGUCAUUCAAGGAAUACGCACAACGGUGGAGAGAGCUAGCAGCCCGUGUCCAACCUCCUCUCCUUGAUAAGGAGCUAAUUGAUAUGUUUAUGGGAACUCUUCAUACUCAAUACAUGGAGAAAAUGGUAGGAUCCAGCUUCCCAACUUUUGCUGAGGUUGUCUCCGUGGGAGAACUAAUCGAGAGCCAGAUCAAGAAGGGAAAGCUACCUUGCGCUGCCAAUGCUUCAAGUGGGAUGAAGAAACCUUAUCCUAAUCUCCCAAAGAAGCUAGAAGGCCAGACCAACGCCAUAAUGAGAGGAGGAGGAUAUAUGACGCCUCCGUAUGUUCCUAUGCCUUAUCAUCAGGUUGUCGUUGUCAUCCCGACACCGUAUCAGCCACCAUAUCAGCAACCAUAUCAGCAACAACAUCAGUUGCCGUACCAACAUCCGGCUUACCAACAGCCACACCAGAAUCAACAGCAACGUGCUCCACCGUAGCGUCAACCUAGUCAACAGAGGGCAAGGAGGCCAAAAAGACAUUUCGAUCCUUUGCCAUUGCCUUACAGCAAGAUCCUUCCCUACCUGCUAAAAGAUGGAUCAGUUGUUUUGAAGGAGCUAACACCUGCAACUCCGCCCUACCCACCAGGCUAUGACACCAAUGCUCACUACGAGUAUCAUAUGGGUGCCCCAGGGUACACCGUAGAAAAUUGCAAGGCCUUCAAACACAAGGUCCAAGAUCUGAUUGACAGUCAGGCAGUUACUUUCACGCCAGUUAGGCCAAAUGUUGCAACAAAUCCCAUGCCAGCGCAUGCAGAGCAUAGUGAAGCUCGAAGAUAGAGCUCCCCACCGGCCUGAACAAGCGGAGCACUUCCUAAACGAAGAAUCAAGAGAUGAAGGCCCGUUUCUUUGAAUGAAGGCAAUCAUUAUGCCAUUUUUACCGUUUCGCAUUCUUGUAAUUUGUUCUUGUUUGUCUAAGUAUUGUAUGGCUUUAAACAUUGUUAUUUGUAUUUGGUUCUAUUAAUGGGAUGAUUAUGCAUGUUUUGAAUCAAUCUUUCAUAUUCACUCAUACCAUUUAUUUGCAAAGCACAAAGCACAAACACAUACUUUUCCACUUCACCUUCUUUAUCACACUAUUGUUAGCAAAUGUUGGAAGGAGGAUGACGAAAACAAAAUACUCAUAAUUGGUGAUUGUAUGCUUUUGGAUAAAAUCCUGCUAAUGAUGUACAAGCAUUGUUUCAAAUCUCCAAACACUGGAGAGAUAAGGAGUUAAUCCCUAGUUAACCAUUUCGGGCCUAGAAGUAGGAGUUUCUUUCAGAUCUACAAACCCUUACGCUUAACCUGGGGCAGGGUAGUGUUCAGUUGAUCUGACUACACAUUCGAAUUACAAGAUGAAAUUUCCCAUACAAGGAUCAAUCACAUGAUAUUCUUCGCACACAUCCUGAAGUGUCGAAGGAACCAUACAAAAUCCAAAAUUUAUGUCCGUUAUUCUUUAAUGACUAAUGACUUGGCAGUCACAAUUUUCCAAAAAAAAUCAAAGAAAGAGCUCGCUAAGUCAAACAUCCAAAAAGGAGACUUAGGCAAAAACUAGGGCAAUCCCGAUGGAUUAAAGCUUCAAAAAGCGGUCCAUGCAAAAUUAGGGAUCAAAACAAAGAUCGAGAGAGACAAUGAGAGUCCUCAACAAAACAAAACAAGAUUCAGUGACCACCAUACCCAAAUCAAAGGGUCGCCAACAUCCAUGAAUAGCAAGAUAGGAUGACUGUCAUUUCAAGAAAUCUUACACUGCUGAACCCUCGCAAAAGUAAGUGUGUGUCGAAUUAACUGAACGUAAGAUCGGAGAUCAUCAUGAAGAAGGGGUGGGUUAAAGUAAACUUUGAGCUUUAUAUCCUUUUGUUUCAAUAACCAUGUGCCAAGCCACGUUACAACCUACGAAAGACCUAAUUGAAGUAAGGUUUAUUCUGAAAGCAUACUACAUCAAGGUUGAGUGAGCUGACUCCUAGAGAUUUGCUAAUAUUCUAUUUUCACUAUAUCACUCACACACUAGCUAAAUCGACACCGCGUCUGGACUCAUGGUCCACUCGCCAUACACUGCUACGAUACUCCUAAUGAACGAUUGUUUUUCAAAACUUGCAUGACUAUUGCAUUAAAAUCACCAUUUCUUGGAUAACAAUUCUUAAUUGUCAGUCAGUACUUGACAUCGAGAAAAUUCCAACAAGGGGAAAUUCAAGAGGUACUUGAUAAUUGGUGCUGACACGAAUCAAGACCAUCUCAUAAAUCAGGGGCAUGGCAUCUUUUGAUUAUGUUGACUUAGGAAGCAGUCAGUAUAAGGCAAAUCUCCAGAGCAUUGGUUGACCAGGGAGGAAAAACACUUCAACACUCAGUCCAUCUGGGGCAGGUCCCUCACAGGCUAAUCAGGGAGCGAACCGUUACAAAGAUUUAGGAGCUGAAAAAAACAAACUCAGACCAUGUCAUGGGAUAAUCACUCCUAAAGUUUCCUUUCAAGGAGAAUGCCAUUUGAUACCCUACAGACUGGGGCAAGACAAGUUGCAAGGGGCAAGUUCCCUUCAUAUCUUCAAGUCAGUCAAGAAGAUUGCGUCAGACACUAGUAACUGCUUGAAUUCUCAAUAAAGACGUCGGAAGUCCAUGCUAGUACGACAUCAUAUCUUGACAAGAAUCCUCAUGGCACGUCAAAGGCAUAAUCAUCAUGCGUUGAUCAUGUCGCUAUGCUCAGUAACAUGCCAUCCAUACAUCUCAGCAGAAAAAGUAGAGAUCGCCUCGGGAGCAAAGACACAACGUAUCACAAGAGAUCAAACUUGGGGAACCAAGAGUAUUCGCAUCUACUACGUGUUCAUCACAUCAUCAACUACCGAGUGUCGGGAAGUCAGAUCCUUUCCCCAACCAACAACCCAACCCACAUUGACAGUUACCAGAAAAAACCAAAGUCCACCUUACUAGCAUCCCUCAUAAAAAACAAACACAACCAGCAUUGGUUUCCAGAAAAUACAUCGCCUUUGAAUAAGGGGGGAGGGGGGGGGGGGGGGGGGCAAUCCCAAACAAACCAAUCAUUCUUUGCAUUCAAACAUGCAUCAUAUGCAUCAUCUCAUACAUCUUUGAAUGCAUAUCAUUUAUGCACAAAAACACGAAUCAAAAUCCAAGGUUAAGUCGUAGGCAUCCAGGCCACCAUUUGCACUUAGUUUUCAUCAUCCAUCCAGCAUGAAUCUUCAAGAAUCGGUAACACUUUGUUUUUUCUUUUAGUUGAUUUCUUAAGUUUAUCGCAUUUUAUGAAUUUCUGCUUGUUUUAUGUUGUAUUAGUAGUUCAUCUCUUUUUGUCGCAUUUUAUGCGUUUCUGUGGUAGUGUUGUUUGGUUUCCAGGUCUAACAAUAAGCCUGAAAUAUGCGUACCGGAAGAAUUAAAGUCAAGGACAUCGUGCAAAGCGAGAAAAGGCAAAAACAGGGGGCUGACACGGGUGCCCGUGUCAGCUGACACGACCUGUGUCAGUAUGUGCAGAAUACAGAUUGUGGAAUCCAGAAACCAAGGGGUUGACACGGGUGCCCGUGUCAGCAAGGGCUGAAGAGUUUGAGUUGACAGAGAGCCAACAUGGGCGCCCGUGUCACCUGACACGGUCCGUGUUGGCCAAUUCGCCAUGUUUGCUGAUUUUUAUUGUUUUGAUCCAUGUGUACGUCCGGAGGGCAGUAUGGGUAUUUCACGAUGUUUUUAGUUGAUUGGAAACUAUUUAGUCUGCAUUUUGGUGAAGAGAGAGGACACUUUUGAUCGUACAAGAAAAAGACAGAAAGGAGAAGCGAACUUUCAAGGUGUUUAGAGAAGAAGAGAUCUUCAAGAUCGGAAGAGAUUGAAGAUCAACCUUCAUCAACAACAAAUUGUACUGUCUCUAUUUUGUAAUUUACUAUCUUUGAAUAUUAUGAGAAGUUAAACCCCCCAAUGCUAGGGGGUGUCCCUGAAUUGCUACUGUAUGAACACUUUUUCUAUGUUUUUAUGAUCAUCGAUGUUUUCUUAAUUCAAAUUAUUAUACAACGUUCUUAAAGCUUUAUUUUAUCGGACAAAUGGAAUUUUGAUCUCUGGUUAAGGUUUAGGUCGGACAAACCACCUUAUCGCUUGUUGUGUAAUAAUAUUUCGGUUUAAUCACUUAGGAAUAAGGAUCAAACCGUAGUAACCGUUAAUUCUUGCUCAAUUGCAUAUUUCGUAACGUCAUUUUGAAUAACUAAGGAAUUAGGAUUGAAAUUGACUGUUAAUGGUUUUCGGCUAAGGGAUUAGAUAAAACAAUUCUUGAGAAUCAGUUUUGAAUAAUUACAACGUAGAUGUUAUAUAAUAUGGAAGGAGUGUAGUACAAAGCAAUUCACACAUAUUGCCUUAGCAUGCUUUCUCAUAUCGCUUAACAACUUUUUAUAUGCUUUAUAUAAUUUAUUCUUGUUCUUAUCAUUUUGAAAACAAUCAUUAAACCCCCUAUGAUCUUUUGUUCAAUGGAAUUAUUGUAAAGAUUUGUACUUAUUACGCAGUCCUCAAGAUGAUACUUGGGAUAACUCCCAUUUCAUUACUACAGUGGUGCAAAUAGUACACUUGCUAUUUUACCGAUCAAGUUUUUGGCACCGUUGUCGGGGAUUGCCAAAGUAUAAGUUGAAUAAUAAUUCAAUUGAAAUUUUUUCGCUCAACGACCAAAAUUUUAUUUCUCUGUACUAUUGGUUAUUUUUAUAAAUUCUAAUAAUUGUCUAAUCUGUGCAUGCAAGACGACGAAAAGCUAGACUGGAACAUUUAGAAGCAACCCCCAUUGUUUCUGAGUCUGAAAAAGAAGAAGCUAUUUCAGUUCAUUCGGAACCAAUGGCUGAAGCUCCACCUUCCGUGGAAAUACUUUUGGGUGACUAUGGAGGUGCAAAUGCUCCUACUGGAAGGUUAACAAUUGUGAACCAACCGGUAAAUGUUGAUCAUUUUCAGCUACACCCUUCAACGAUUCGUCAUCUCGAAAGGAGACCGUUCUCCGGAAAAAUCAAUGAAGAUGCCAACAAGCAUUUACAAAGAUUUCUGACCAUGAUGACAUCGUUGAAAAUUGAGGGACACUCAGAGGAAGCUAAAAAGUUGGUGAUGUUUCCGUUUACACUAUCGGAAGAUGCUGAAGAGUGGUGUUACUCUUUACCCGUGGGAAGCAUUACAGCUUGGCAACAAAUGGAGACAACAUUUUUGAAUGAGUACUUCCCUGGUUCUGUGUAUAUCUGUAAGAGAUAUGAUAUUGUUAAUUUCAAAUAGAAGGAAAGAGAGUCACUCAGAGACGCUUACAAGAGGUUCAAGCGAUUGUUGGUUGCAUGUCCUACUCAUAACAUGGAUGCAACUGAAUAGAUGCAAAAUUUUAUGAAUGGCCUUAGAAUGAAGACUAAGUAACUCAUAGACACAGCUGCCGGUGGCUUAACAAAUUUUACAACAACCACUGGAAUAAAGAAAAUCAUUCAAGCCAUUGCAGCAAAUCAGCAUCUGGAGCUCUAUGACCGCAGUGUAAGUCAACCUGAAGGUAUCAUUGAUCUCAAGCUAACAAAUCAAGUUGUGAAGAUGGAAGAUUAAAUAACAGCUGAAGUAGAGAGAAGAAUCAAUAAAAUGGCUCUUGACACUCAAACGGUGGCACAAGUUCAACCGGUUCAACCUAUUUAAACAGUUAGUUGUGAAAUUUGUGGGGGACCGCACUUCGCCAUGCAUUGUGUGGAAACUACACAACAGGUAGAAGAGAUUAAUUUUCUGAAGCAAAAUAACCCUUACUUCAAUACUUAUAAUCCUGGAUGGAAAAAUCAUCCAAAUUUUUCCUGGAAGGACCAACAAGGAAAUGCUCACAAGCAAGUGCCCAGUCAAUAUCAAAGCCAACCGCAACAACAGUAUCGACCACAACAAUAACAACCUUACCAGCAGCAGUUUCACCAAUCCCAACAACAAUUUCAAUAACAGGUUCCAAGAAAAGCAGAUAGGGAAAUUGCCAUUGAAAAAAUGGCGGCUCAAAGUUCACAAUUUCAAGAGGAGACUAGAAGUAAUCUGAGAAACACUGGUGCAUCAAUAAAAAAUCUGGAAGUGCAAAUGAGUCAGAUUGCUCAACAACUCGCGGGUUCUCAAACACUGGGUGCAUUACCGAGUGCUACAAUUAUAAAUCCACGAGAGCAUAAUAAUGUGAGUGUUGUAACCAUAAGAAGUGGUAAAUCAAAAGAAGUCCCUGAGAAAGAUGAUGACCAAGAAGACUAAUUGAUUGAAGUUGAGUUGGAAAUAAAAGAAAAUGAGGUUGUGAGUGAAGAGGUGGUAGUGCCUAAACUGAUGGUUAAAGGAAAAGUUAGUGAACCAAAGUCGGCUGUCAAACUCCCUUUCCCCAUAAGAAAUAAGAAGAAAGAGCAACAUGAGAAGAACUUCGAGAAAUUCUUGGAGAUGUUCAAAAAGCUUGAGAUUAACAUUCCGUUCUUGGAGGCACUUGAACAAAUGCCCUCUUAUGCCAAAUUUAUGAAGGAAAUUAUUUCAAAGAAGAGGAGCGCCGACACUGACCCUAUUGUACUAACCGAAACUUGUAGUGCAAUUUUGCAGGGUAUGAAGAUUCUAGUGAAGAAGAAAGAUCGAGGCUCGGUAACUAUCCCUUGCACUAUCGGGGAUAGGUAUUUAAAAAAGGCCCUUAUAGACUUGGGGGCAAGUGUGAUUCUCAUGUCGUUAUCCAUUUACAAGAGGUUAGGGAUUGGAAAAGUGCAAGAUAGCAAAAUGACACUUCAAUUUGCUGACCACUCUGUGAAGAGACCUUAUGGAGUGGUGGAAGACAUUCUUGUGAAGAUUGAUAAGUUUGUAUUUCCGAUGGACUUUGUCAUCUUAGAAAUGCCGGAAGAUGAAGAGAUACCACUCAUCCUUAGUAGACCAUUUUUGGAGACCGGAAGAUGUUUGAUAGAUAUAGAAGAGGGCACCAUGACUCUAAAAGUUUACGAUGAAGAGUUGAAAAUUGAUUUGCGUAACACCAUGAGAUACAAAGAUGAUGUGGCCACCAGUCAACACAUAGAGGUGAUUGAUCAAAUGGUUCUGCAAGAAAAUCCUUUAGGUGAACCACAAUUGCCCUUGGAGAGAGUUCUAAGUCUAUCAAUUUCUGAAGACAGAUGUGGCCACCAGUCAACACAUAGAGGUGAUUGAUCAAAUGGUUCUGCAAGAAAAUCCUUUAGGUGAACCACAAUUGCCCUUGGAGAGAGUUCUAAGUCUAUCAAUUUCUGAAGACACUCAAGAAGUUGACUAAAAGGAGAGGGAAGUGUUAACUAUGAUGGCAACACAACCACCCUUUAAGGGAUCCCGAUCACUCCGAUGGGAAAACUUGAGGGAACCCCAGUUUGAGGAAAAGAAAGAUGAGACCAAGAAAGUGGAUGAGCUGAAACAAUUGCCGAAAAAUCUCAAGUAUAUUUUUCUAGAUUCUGAAAGGAGAUGCCCGACUAUUAUAAGCUCUAAUCUAAAAGUUUCCCAAGAAGACAAGCUCGUCAAGGUUCUGAAGAAGCAAAAAAGUGAAAUGGGAUGGGCGAUAGAAGACUUGAAGGGGAUUAGCCCUACGGUAUGUAUGCAUAAAAGUCUCAUGGAGGAUGGUCACAAACCAGUGGUGCAACCCCAAAGAAGACUAAAUCCCGCAAUGAAGGAAGUGGUUAGGAAAGAGGUUGUUAAACUAUUAGAUGUUGGGUUAAUUUAUCCCAUAUCGAUAGCUCUUGGUGAGUCAUGUUCAUUGUGGGUUCCGAAGAAAGGAGGGACUACCGUUAUAAAGAAUGAGAAAAAUGAGUUACUCCCUACAAGGACGGUCACGAGGUGGCGUGUUUGCAUCGAUUACAGAAGGUUGAAUUUGGCGACAAGAAAGGAUCACUUUCCUUUACCAUUCAUCGAUCAGAUGUUGGAAAGGUUGGCUGGUCAUGAGUACUAUUGUUCCUUGAUGGAUACUCUGGAUAUAAUCAGAUAGCGGUUGCACCAGAAGAUCAAGAGAAGACAGCUUUUACUUGCCCUAUGGUAUUUUUGCUUACAGAAUAAUUCCAUUCAGGUUUACGUAAUGCACCCGGCCACAUUUCAAAGAUGCAUGACUUCCAUUUUUUGGACAUGCUCGAAAAGCAUAUGGAGGUUCUUCAAUGGAUGACUUCUCGGUAUUUGGUUUCUCUUUUGAUAAUUGUUUAACUAACCUUUCCCUUGUGUUAGAAAGAUGCCAACAGACCAACUUGAUUCUCAACUGGGAGAAGUUCCACUUCAUGGUGUGAGAAGGCAUAGUCUUGGGUCAUGAAAUUUCUCACAAAGGAAUAGAAGUGGACCAAGCCAAGAUCGAGGUAAUAGAAAAGCUACCCCCUCCAAUGAACGAAAAAGGUAUAAGAAGUUUCUUAGGGCAUGCGGGUUUCUACCGUAGGUUCAUAAGAGACUUUUCUAAGAUAGCUAAACCUUUAACUACCCUGUUGGUUAAGGACAAGGCUUUCAUCUUUGAUAAAGAGUGUGUCAUUGCUUUUGAAACUAUAAAAAAUAAAUUGGUGACGGCACCUAUUGUCAUUGCCCCAGAUUGGUCUCUACCUUUUGAGAUCAUGUGUGAUGCGAGUGACAUUGCAGUGGGAGAAGUUCUUGGGCAACAUAGAGAUAAACUGUUGCAUGUCAUAUAUUAUGCUAGUCAUGAUACCUUUUGAGAUCAUGUGUGAUGCGAGUGACAUUGCAGUGGGAGAAGUUCUUGGGCAACAUAGAGAUAAACUGUUGCAUGUCAUAUAUUAUGCUAGUCAUGUUUUGAACCCUGCACAGAUGAACUAUGCGACUACCGAGAAGGAGUUGCUAGCGGUGGUCUAUGCCUUUGAUAAAUUCAGGCAAUAUCUGUUGGGUUCUAGAGUCAUUUUUUAUACUGACCAUGCUGCUUUGAAGUAUUUAUUUUCUAAGCAUGACUCUAAGCCAAGACUGUUGAGAUGGAUCUUACUCCUCCAAGAGUUUGAUUUGGAAAUUCGUGACAAAAGAGGGUGUGAAAAUACUGUGGCAGAUCACCUCUCUCGGAUGUCCCCUAUAGAGGAGAAUGAGGAAAAGCGUCUGAUAAAGGAUGAGUUUGCUGACGAACACAUCCUUGCUGUUAUUGGAAUGCCAUGGUUCACAGACUACGCGAACUAUCUAGUAGGUGGGGUGAUCCCUAGCGAAUUUGACUCUAACAAAAAGAAAAAGUUUGUGCAUGAUUGCAGGUUUUACUUGUGGGAUGACCCAUUCUUGUACAAGAAGCGAAUUUGACUCUAACAAAAAGAAAAAGUUUGUGCAUGAUUGCAGGUUUUACUUGUGGGAUGACCCAUUCUUGUACAAGAAAGGAGUAGAUGGGUUGGUCAGAAGAUGUGUUCCCGAAGAAGAACAAAGAGAUGUCCUGAAAGUAUGCCAUGACUCUGACUAUGGUGGACACUUUAGUGGUGAUAGAACCGCAGCCAAAGUCCUCCAGUCAGGCUUCUACUGGCCUACACUUUUCAAAGAUGCUCAACAAUUAAUCAAAGAGUGCGAUAAGUAUCAAAGGAUGGGAAACAUCUCGAAAAGAAAUCAGAUACCGCAGAACCCCAUGUUGGAAGUUGAACUCUUCGAUGUUUGGGGUAUCGACUUUAUGGGACCAUUUCCACCUUCAUUUGGAAAGAAUUACAUUUUGGGGGCGGUGGAUUAUGUAUCCAAGUGGGUAGAAGCAGUCGCUCUACCAACGAAUGAUGCAAAAGUGGUAGUCAAGUUUCUAAAGGAAAAUAUAUUUGUCAGGUCUGGAGUGCCAAGAGCUCUAAUAAGUGAUAAAGGAACUCAUUUCUUAAAUCACCUAAUGGAGAAGCUACUCUUGAAGUAUAAUGUAAAACAUCGUAUAGCCACUCCGUACCAUCCGCAAACAAGUGGUCAAGUUGAAGUGUCGAAUAGACAGCUGAAACAAAUUCUGGAGAAGACGGUCAACUCAUCUCGCAAAGAUUGGGCAAGUAAGCUUGAUGAUGCGCUUUGGGCAUACCGAACUGCUUUCAAAACACUGAUUGGUAUGUCCCCUUAUCAAUUGGUAUAUGGUAAGGCAUGUCACUUACCCUUAGAACUUGAACACAAAGCUUUGUGGGAUUCAAAAUUCCUUAAUUUCGAUCUUUCGAAAGUGGGAUAAUCUCGAAUACUUCAACUCCAUGAGUUAGAAGAAUUUAGGAACCGAGCAUAUGAAAAUGCCAAGAUCUACAAAGAUCAAACAAAGAAGUGGCAUGAUAGAAGGAUCCAAAGGAAGGAAUUUUGGAAAGGACAAAUGGUACUAUUGUUUAAUUCGAGGAUGAAGUUGUUCUCGGGAAAACUGAGAUCGAAAUGGUCGGGUCCGUUUAUGGUACACAAGGUAUAUCCUCAUGGAGCAAUCGAACUAAAAAAUCCUUCCAAUGGGGACAUUUUUAAAGUGAAUGGCCAAAGAUUGAAGCCUUACAAUGUGGAGCACGAAGUUGGUCAAAUUGAUGUUGUUCAUCUUGUCUGAUAAGAUGAACAACCGUCGAGCCAUGCGACGUUAAACGAAGCGCUACGUGGGAGGCAACCCACGCUUUUGUGUCUAAUUACUUUCUUUGUUUUGUUGUGUGUUAUUGAAUUGCAGGUUAGAACAAUGUUUGCUAGAGGAGCCAAAAGUUCGUGUGCCAAAAGUCUCUGGAAAAAUUGGAAGCAGAAGCCUGACACAAUCACGAGAAAACAGUGAAGGAAAAAGAAAAAUCGGGGGCCUGACACGGGUGCCCGUGUCAGCAUGUGAUUAGAGAAAGGUGGUUUCCAGGGGCUUGACACGGGUGGCCGUGUCAGCCCCUGAGUGAACAAGUUGGAAAGAGGAAGGACACGACCGGUGUCAUGGAGGUCCUUAGCGCGGACACGGCCUCCCGUGUCAGCAAGCGUGUUGGGAAAAUUUUCAAAAAUUUUGACCGUUGGCAAUUGGGCCCACCACCGAAUUUCCCCCGCUAAAUCCAUUUUAUCACCCAUUCACUCCUCAUUAACCUCUUCUCUUACCUAUUCUCUCACCUUCAUCUCUCUUUCUCUCAAAAAUACCUAAAAACCUCCAUUUUUCUUCACAUAAAGCUCCAUCCUUUCACCUCAUAACUCCAUCAAAUCUCCAUCCGUCAAAAAAUACCUAAAAACCUCCAUUUUUCUUCACAUAAAGCUCCAUCCUUUCACCUCAUAACUCCAUCAAAUCUCCAUCCGUCUUCACAAAAGUUCUUCCAUUUUCCAUCCUCUACCUUCCUACGGUAACAUUUUUGCCUAAUCUCUCUUUUCAAUUUCAAGUUUCUUUUUGUUGUGUGCAGGUAAGAACAUCUCUCGGCGAGUAGACAUAAGCAAAAAUGUGGCGGAAUCAUCCUGGCCACGUCAAAGGGCGAGAAGGACUCUGAAUGAGCACGACAUUAUGUUUGAAAACUUGGAGCACCAAAAGAGGUAUACGGUUCAUCUUAAAAGAAAAUUAACCCCCACCAGAUACAUGUGUAAUGGCACUUUGCAGGAACUGGGAUUGCAAGCGGAAGUUCACCAAAUGUUCCACACCUUAGGUAUGUUGGAAUUCAUGCAGUUAGAAGCGCCAACUUUUGUGCGCAUUACUCUUGAAUUCUUGAGUACCAUUGAAUUUAAGCUGAAAAAUCGGUGGAAUGGAACGGAGAAAGAGUACUACGGUACUCUGCAUUUUCGUUUAUUUAAUACUUAUAUGGAAUUGUAUGUGGAUGAGUUAGGGAGUAUCCUAAAACUCCCAAUCAUAGGCCCUUGAAUGGUGCCCGAUACUUUUGUUCUGGCGGAAUUCUGGACCGCUAUAACAGGUAACACUAAGUAUGUCUCCAAAGAGGCAAAAGCAUCGGGUAUCCAUAACCCUUGUUUCAGGUACGCGCAGAAGGCUUUGGCAUACACCAUGUUUGUUCGCGGUGAUAGCAUCGGUGUCACCACCCAAAGGGAGUUGUUCUUUCUAUACAGUAUGGCAGCACAAACUCCUAUCAACGUAGCAGCAUUUGCAACUGACUACCUAGGUAGCGUUGGUCGCGCUACUUCAGGCGACAUUUCGGUUGGCGGAAUGAUCACACAGAUUGCCGACCAUUUUGGAUUUGGUGUUGCGCUUGCUGACUCUCCACAGGUGCUGGGUAAAAAUAAACUGGACAUGGCCGCGUUGAUUCAACAAGGCAUGAUUGAGGUGACACAAGAUUACUAUUCUCUUAUCUGCCAAAAAUUCCAUGUUCUUGCUUUACCCGCUUAUGAUUUCAUCAGUAUUACUAACAAAGCCAACUGGCUUUAUGAGUGUCCUGACCUGGAUGAGGGGGACGGAGAUUUUCUUGAUUCUUUGCCUGCAUAUGAACAUAUGGAGGGUGCACCGAGCACGGAGGAGUCGUUUACCAACAACCACUGGAAUCGACUCAAGCUUCAAGGUCCUACUCCAUGCCACAAGACCAAUGGGGUUGGAUUCAAGAUGAGAUCGGUCACCUUCGCACGGAGCAAUCUAGGCAAGGUGAGGAGCUCACCAGGUUCGGAGUCGAACAACUCCGCCAAGGGACGGUUUUGGAUGAGAUGAAUGCGAUGAUGCAAUGCAUGAUGUUGCAUUAUCCGUACUCGCCCCCACCUCCUCAUUAAAAAUUGUGAGUACCCCUCUUAUCUUAAUAAUAAACAUUGCGGACAAUGUUUGGUUCAAGUGUGUGUGUGGGGGAGGGGUAUUGUUUUGUAUUUUAUUUUAGUUGUGUUUGUUUGCUUUGUUACUUUGUUUUGUCUUUGUGUGUCUGUUUUAUUUCCUUAAGUUAUAGAUAAAAGUGGAUUCUACUAGAUAAAUGAUGGACUAGUGACCAGUGAGGGAAAGAUGCAACCCCGGAUUUGCUCCCGAGGCAACUUGGAAGUUGAUACAACUGAGAAAGAAAAUGUUGGACGUAACUUGGAAACUCUAGACCGAAAGAGGGGAGGGUAAACCCAAGCUGAAAAGGAAGUUGUUUGUCAUAAAGAGUGGUUUGGAGCCUGCAAGCUUAUCCAACAUGGUGAGAUUUCAACAUAACCAAACACAAAAGAGCGCAUUCAGGUAUGACUUUAUCUCUCUAAUUUUGCGUAAGUUCAGCCUGCAAGCUUAUCCAACAUGGUGAGAUUUCAACAUAACCAAACACAAAAGAGCGCAUUCAGGUAUGACUUUAUCUCUCUAAUUUUGCGUAAGUUCUACUGAUACAGCACAAUACAAAGACGCACAAUGAGGCGCGUUGUUUAUUUUCACCCUUUAGCCUUUCUAGCAAUCCAUAUUGUUAUAUUUAUCCUUUGUUAAACCUGUUGAGCAUGUACCCCGUUGUUUGUGAAAACCGUCAUGUUAACCUAAGCCAAACACUUCCUACCUUCACUCGGCAUGACUGUUGUAGUGUAAAAUUCGUGCAAAAAGAUAAGUUUGGGGUGGUGAUCCUUAGAAAAAGUUGAAAAAGGGAAAGUGCAACAAAAAGAAGAAAAAAAGUGUGUAGAAACAUCCGCUUCUACCGAAAAAAAAAGAGAAAAGAAAUGAAAAAUAGAAGUGAAGUAUAAGCACUUGCCUAAUUCAAAGACUCAUGAAUUAAUGUGAUACUCAAAAGAAAAAUUGAGUGGAAAAGAGUCAAGUUGGACAAAACCCCAUAAACUAAUUUGUGCACAAAGAAAAGAAACAACAUGAAUGCCGAGUUCUAAACCUUUGUCAUCCAUUUUCUUGUCUACCCCCACCGUACCUAAGCCCCGUUACAACCCGAAAGACCUCUCAAAGUGUGUGAAUUUGGUUUGUGUAGUUAACGUAGAAUCUAUUCAAAAAAUAAGAGUUGAUAUUGCAUACCUUGAUAUCAUGAGUGCUAAACACUUUAACCCCGAGAUAUUUGGUGAGUGGUGUGAAGAAGUUUGCAGGUGAAGGAACACUCUGAUACGAUAAUACAGUGGAUAGUUCGAAUGGGUGAACCAGAAGCUUAAUCGGGAAGGAGGAAGAUAAGUUGUGAAUACCAUCAGCCGUAUUAUGGAAAGAAGAAAAUCCAUGGUUGACCUCUGUGUUGUCUCUUACAUCACUUGAGGACAAGCAAUGAGAUAAGUUUGGGGUUGUGAUCGGUCACCAUUUGCACUUAGUUUUCAUCAUCCAUACAACAUUAAUCUUCAAGAAUCAGUAACAAUUUGUUCUUUCUUUUAGUUGAUUUCUUAAGUUUAUCGCAUUUUAUAAAUUUCUGCUUGUUUUAUGUAUUAGUAGUUCAUCUUUUUUUAUCGCAUUUUAUGCAUUUCCGUGAUAGUGUUGUUUGGUUUACAGGUCUAACAAUAAGCCCGAAAGAUGCGUAGCGGAAGAAUGGAAGUCAAGGACAUCGUGCAAAGCGAGAAAAGGCAAAAAUAGGGGGCUGACACGGGUGUCCGUGUCAGCUGACACGACCCGUGUCAGCAUGUGCAAAAUACAGAUUAUGGAAUCCAGAAACCAGGGGGCUGACACGGGUGCCCGUGUCAGCUGACACGGGUGCCCGUGUCAGCUGACACGGCCCAUGUCAGCAAGGGCAGAAGAAUUUGAGUUGACAGAGAGCCAACACGGGCGCCCGAUGUCAGCUGACACGGGUGCCCGUGUCAGCUGACACGGCCCAUGUCAGCAAGGGCAGAAGAAUUUGAGUUGACAGAGAGCCAACACGGGCGCCCGUGUCACCUGACACGACCCGUGUUGGCCAAUUUGCCCCGUUUGCUGAUUUUUAUUGUUUUGAUCCCCGUGUACGUCCGGAGGGCAGUCUGGGUAUUUCACGAUGUUUUUAGUUGAUUGGAAACUAUUUAGUCUGCAUUUUGGUGAAGAGAGAGGACACUUUUGAUCGUACAAGAAAAAGACAGAAAGGAGAAGCGAGCUUUCAAGGUGUUUAGAGAAGAAGAUAUCUUCAAGAUCGGAAGAGAUUGAAGAUCAACCUUCAUCAAUAACAAAUUGUAAUGUCUCUAUUUUGUAAUUUACUGUCUUUGAAUAUUAUGAGAAGCUAAACCCCCAAAUGCUAGGGGGUGUCCCUGAAUUGCUAUUGUAUGAACACUUUUUCUAUGUUUUUAUGAUCAUCGAUGUUUUCUUAAUUCAAAUUAUUAUACAACGUUCAUAAUGCUUUAUUUUAUCGGACAAAUGGAAUUUUGAUCUCUGGUUAAGGUUUAGGUCGAACAAACCACCUUAUCGCUUGUUGUGUAAUAAUACUUCGGUUUAAUCACUUAGGAAUAAGGAUCAAACCGUAGUAGCCAUUAAUUCUUGCUUAAUUGCAUAUUUCGUAACGUCAUUUUGAAUAACUAAGGAAUUAGGAUUGAAAUUGACUGUUAAUGGUUUUUGGCUAAGGGAUUAGUGAAAACAAUUCUUGAGAAUCGGGUUUGAAUAAUUACAAUGUAGAUGUUAUAUAAUAUGGAAGGAGUGUAGUACAAAGCAAUUCACACAUCUUGCCUUAGCAUGCUUUCUCAUAUCGUUUAACAGCUUUUUAUACGCUUUAUAUAAUUUAUUCUCGUUCUUCUCGUUUUGAAAACAAUCAUCAAACCCCCUAUGAUCUUUUGUUCAAUGUAAUUAUUGUAAAGAUUUGUACUUAUUACGCAGUCCUCGAGAUCGAUACUCGGGAUAACUCUCAUUUCAUUACUACAUUGGUGCAAAUAGUACACUUGCUAUUUUACCGAUCACCAACCCUCAGUUGAGUCAUUGUUUUCCUCUGAGAGAGUCCCUACCCUAUUAUCGGGCGUUUCCCAUUAAGUUACAUCUUUCAACCUUUUGUUGAUAAGACGUUAUCCUUAGCUAAGCCAAACAUUGUUUCUUUAAACACUUACCUUGUUUCGCGUUGAGUAUCCCUCAAUGAGUCGUUUCCUGUAACCUUUUGUUGAUGGAAGCCUCAUCUUCCAAUAGAAUAUUAGUUCUGCAACCUUUUGUUGGUUAUACCCCGAGCAAGUCUUACCCAGUAAUGUUCCAAUACUACCCAACAAGUCGGGUUUAUUGAAUGUUGACAAUAGCCUUAUUUUUCCAAAUAUUUUUCCCACUAUCAUCCUUUUGAUGAAAGUCCAUUGAGGAAUAAUACUAAUCAUCACCCUGUUUACGAUAACCGUUAUCCUUUUGGUAAUGGUAAAUCCUUGACAUUCGUGAUCUUACCGUCAUCCUUUUGGUGUCGGCGAUCCUUGAAGUUUUGUCCCAACCUUCAUCCUUUUGGUGAAUGGCGACCUCUGCAACUAUUAUAGCCCACCGUCAUCCUUUUAGUGUCGGUAAUCCUUGUCAUUUUGGUUCAACCAUCAUCUUUUUGGUGAUGACGUCCAGUUCAAUCUAAAUAUUAUCCUUUUUGUGAUAGAGAUUAUGGAGUCUGGUUUAGGCUAUCGUCCUUUUGGUGAUUGUGACCUAGGGAAAGUCCAAUCCCACUGUCAUCCUUUUGGUGUCAGCAAUAUUUGAAGUUAUUAUAACUUACUAUCAUCCUUUUGGUGGUAACAAGUUCCGAAGUUAUGACCUCACCUUCAUCCUUUUGGUGAUGGUGAUUGUUGAUUCAUUAUCAUCCUUUUGGUGAUAACGAGUCCUGUUGUUUGUAGUACCUUCAUCCUUUUGGUGAUGGUGACCAUCGACUUAUUAUCAUCCUUUUGGUGAUAACAAGUUUUGUUGUUCAAUCCUACCUUCAUCCUUUUGGUAACGGUGAUCAGUAAAAGUUAUUGACUUAUUAUCAUCCUUUGAUGGUAAAGAGUUUUGUUGUUUAAUCUUACCUUCAUCCUUUUGGUGAUGGUGAUUGUUUUGACUUAUUAUCAUCCUUUUGGCGAUAACAAGUUUUGAAGUUUUGUUCUUACCUUUAUCCUUUUGGUGAUGGUUAUCAUUUAAGUUGUCGUGACUUAUUAUCAUCCUUUUGGUGGUAACAAGUUUUGUUGUUUGAUAAUACCUUCAUCCUUUGGUGAUGGUGAUUGUCAUGACUUAUUAUCAUCCUUUUGGUGGUAACUAGUUCUGUUACUAAUCUUACUGUCAUCCUUUUGGUGUCAGUGAUAUUCGAAGUUAUAUUGAUUUAUUAUCAUCCUUUUGGUGGUAACAAGUUUUGUCUUGAUUUUACUUUCAUCCUUUUGGUGAUGGUAAUCAUUUAAAUUGUUGUAAUUUAUUAUCAUCCUUUUGGUGAUAACGAGUUUUGUUGUUUGUAGUACCUUCAUCCUUUUGGUGAUGGUGACUGUCGACUUAUUAUCAUCCUUUUGGUGAUAACAAGUUUUGAAAUUUUGUUCUUACCUUCAUCCUUUUGGUGACGGUGGUCAUUUAAGUUAUUAUGACUUAUUAUCAUCCUUUUGGUGAUAACGAGUUUUGUUAUUGGUUCCACCUUCAUCCUUUUGGUGAUGGUGAUUGUUGACUUAUUAUCAUCCUUUUGAAGAUAACAAGUUUUGUUUGGGUCUUACCCUCAUCCUUUUGGUGAUGGUGAUCAUUGAAGUUAUUUGACUUAUUAUCAUCCUUUUGGUGAUAACAAGUUUUGUUGUGGGAUCUUACCUUCAUCCUUUUGGUGACGGUGAUCUUUGAAGUUGAUGAGUACCUUUUGGUGAUGGUGAUCAUUGAAGUUAUUUGACUUAUUAUCAUCCUUUUGGUGAUAACAAGUUUUGUUGUGGGAUCUUACCUUCAUCCUUUUGGUGACGGUGAUCUUUGAAGUUGAUGAGUUAACCAUCAUCCUUUUGGUGGUAGCCUUGAUAUUAUACUUUUGGGAAUGGAAAGCUUUAUCAGAAUGUCAUCAUCCUUUUGAUGAUGGACGUCAUCCUUUUGGUGAUAAAAAUCUUUGAAUUUUAUUAUGUCAGACUUUCAUCCUUUUUGGUGACAGCAAGUUUGGUUAUUAAUCUUACCAUCAUCCUUCUGAUGAUGACUACCUCUAAAGCUUGGUUUAUCCAUCACCCUUUUAGUGAUGACAAUUAAUUCUACUGUCAUCCUUUUGGUGCCAGAAAACUCGUUCAGUUUUCGCUCUCACAUCAGAAACGACCUUUGCAAGAUUUAAAUGUCGACUCGAGGGUUGGCAUUGAUUUGACGUUCUACCCCAAUACCUUGGUGCUAUUAGAACUCGUUGCAUUUUCUCUCUGCAUUUCUCCAUUGCAUCUCAAAGGACAAAAUUCGGGUCUUUUCGUAUUUAAUUACCUUCCACCACGAACGUAUGAAGACUGUCGUCAUUCUUACCUUCUAGUUCAAGUUAAUUAAAUAGGGGCAACUGUCAUACCCCAAUUUUAUCCGGGCAUUUUUAAAUAUCAGUCAGAAUAGAAUAUUGAAAAUACAGACAAAUUGGUUAAAUCGUUUCUCAAGUACGUGCAAAAUCAGCGGGUAAAAAGUUUCAAAAUUAAAAUUACAGACGCCAGUAUCAUUAACCUAUGGUUCACGUAGUUUAACCUGGUGUGCUCGUUGUAUUUUUCAGGGACUGUUUCGGCUGCGUUUUGACCCGCCUAAGCCUUUUAACCGGUGAAAAUUUAUUUUAGAAUUUGAAGAAACGCUGUAUUUUUUCAAUAAGUGUAUUCUGUGCUGAUCAUUUUGGUGCACCCGAUUUAAUUUUUCGAGCAAAUUUUCGCCCGACUUUUUUGCAUAAUCAAUCAUUUUAUUUUUAUCCUUUCGCCAAAACAUUCAGAAAAUUGAAAUUUCCAUGUCUUCAUUUUAUUUUUACCAUAUUCAUUUUAGAAGUUGUGGAUUUUUAUUUGAUUUCAUUGAUCUAAAUUGUUUUAAGUCAAUUGAACCAUCUAGAAGGGGCACCUUUGAUAUUCUUAGAAUUAGUUAGCAUUUGUGUUUCUUUGGUUUAAUCUCGAUCGUUAAAUCGAGACUAAUCAAAGGUCUAUAAUAGUUAUCCAUGUGUGUUUCUAUUUACCAAUAAUAAAAUCAAAUAAUAUUAAUAUUAAUAAUAAAGAGAAAAAAUCCAUUUAUGGUUGUGUAAAUAAGGAUAGGUGGCUCUUUUUUCUCAAAUUUAGAAAAAAGAGAAAUGCUGAAAAUACUACCCUUUAGGAUUUUUUUCGGUGGCCUCUCGGAUCACUCUCAAACAAAAUUCAUAACAACUCAUUAUUGGCCAGGAGAAAAUGAGUUGUCUCCACUCAUAGCUGGAAAAGGAAUCCACUCUCUUUCUCUCUCUCAAAAGAGAACUCUGAAAAGAAAGAAAAAAAGAAUAGAUAUAUCUCAACGAGUACACAAAAGGAAAAAAAAAUCUCAUUCUGAAAAAAGACGUUACAUCCAUUUAAAUUUCUCUCUCUCACCACUCAUAAAAGAACUACCCAUUCACCUAACUUUCGGACUCUCUCUCACGGGUUCCUCACGUUACAAAAAGAUAAAAGGAAAAAAGAAAUUCAAAAAGGACUGACAAAAAACUCUCUCACCUGAUACCAUUCCUUCUCUCUCAUAAUAACCCUCUCUCUCUCUGACUUCCAAAAGGCAACCAAAAAAGAAAAAAGAAAUUGAGAGGAAUCUUCCUCUUCUUCGGAAUCUCAUCACUCUUCACCACCGGACCGCCUUCAACAACCUCCGUCGUCGAAAACCUCACAGCCAUAACUGCGCCCCCCUUCACCCUCCUUCAAACUCUCCGCUGGCGAAAAACAGAAACACCGCGAUCCUCUUUUUCAACACCGUCCAAACCCUUCGUCUUCGUCACAACCACACACCGCCAUCUCCACCGUCCAAAUCCCAUCUCCGUCUUCACUCAACUCACAACCGCAACCAACCAACAACACCGUGAAACCGUUUUUACGAAACGAAACUCAAUGAAUCUCCUUCCUCACGAAAUCACCGCCGCCACCUUCGACAUCUUACUGCCAUCCACAAUAAACCCUCACAACCGCCUCCGUUCCCCUCCCACACUUCCUUCGUGGCCACCGCAAAAGCCACCACGCGUCUUCUCCUUCACAUUCACGGACGUCUUCUCCUUCCGAUGUCGGAUUCAAACGCAACCAACCAGCCGCUCUACAACAAUAAGAGGAGCAUAGCACCAAAGGAAAUAAUGUAGAAGGAUGGGUCUAGCCGCACUCCGUUUCCAUUAUAAUUUCAAGUUCAUUUCUGACGAACUCACAGUCCUUCCAAUCACCACAAGGUCGUCGAACCCAUACGUAUAUCACUGUAAAUCUCAUGUUGAUUGGUUUAUUAUUGCUUUUGUUUUUUCCAAUUGGAGUAAGGUAGAGAUUAAAUCGAGGAUGCAAGGGUUUGUUUCAUCGGUCUUAAAGAUGAAAAAUAAUGUUCUGCAUUUUUAAAGAACGAAAGAAAGCAUAGUGGAAAUUUCUAACUUAUUAUGAGCCUUGAUUUUCCUAAUGGUAAUGUAAAAGUUAAACUGGAUUUUUACGUUUUGUUACUUGUUUGUUUGACUGAACUUUUUUUUAAUUAUUAUUACAUGACAAUAGAAUUAGUAUUUUGGUUGUAGAAAGAGUUGUCUGCAUAUAAUUCAUUAUGGGCUUGGUUUUCUUUUUAUCCAGGAAAAUUUUAGAUUGGAUCGAUAAUGCUUAAUAGUGUACAUUGAAUUCUUUCUUAAAUCACGUUUGGAAGGGUCCUGCAACUCUUUUUGUUUAUUUCAAACUUGGACAUCAUUGGUUUUAAAUGGUACUUUGUUUUAAUUAAUUGUAUUAGUAUCCCUUGUUCUAACUAAUUUAUUAGUUCACAACGUUACAACCAUUUUUCUCAAAUACAUGGUUGGUUCUACUAUUAAAAUUUAAAUUAGAUUAUUAAUUGCCUAAUGGAUUUUAUAGUGUAUAUGUAUAAAUCUGCUCCAAUCAUAUGGCGUUGUUGUUAACAUUCAGUUAAUAUGUUGUGUAUAACCUUGGGUGGUUUCUAUGUGAUUUCAAUUCCAUUAUGAUGAAGUUUGAAAUUCUAGUUAUCAGACUUUAGAUGUCACACGGGUUGUUAUGACAUCCAAUUCUGCACAGACAAGAAUUAUGCAGAACUUAAAAGUAAGUGCAGUAAAUAACACAAGUAAUUGUUUACCCAGUUGAGUCCAACAUGACCUACAUCUNCAUUCCACCAAAGACUAUAUCAUCCACAUAGAUUUGAGCUAUCAUGAUUUUGCCUUCUUCAUCCUUCACAAACAAGGUUUUAUCUAUUCCACCUUUUCUGUAUCCAUUUGAGGUCAGAAAUUCGGUCGACCUUUCAUACCAUGCUCUAGGUGCUUGUUUCAACCCAUACAAGGCUUUUCUCAACUUGUACACAUGCUUGGGUUGGUUGGGAUCACUGAACCCUUUGGGUUGUUCCGCAUAGACUUCUUCAUUCAAGUAGCCAUUCAAGAAUGCGCUCUUCACAUCCAUUUAGAGCAGUUUAAACUUCAGAAUGCAUGCUACACCUAACAGCAAUCUGAUGGACUCAAGUCUAGCCACAGGAGCAAACGUUUCAUCAAAAUCAACCCCUUCCACUUGAGUGUAACCUUGAGCUACUAAUCUUGCUUUAUUCCUAGUAAUUACUCCUUUCUCAUCAGACUUGUUCUUGUAGAUCCACUUGGUACCAAUGAUGUUGGUCCCUUCAGGUCUAGGAACUAGCUCCCAAACUUCAUUCCGUUUGAACUGUAUCAUAUGCUGAGUCUGUUUUUCCAGAAAACAGACUGUACAAUUUUGCUGACCUGUAUAUGACCAAAAUGACCAUACUACAGUAACAGCUUACAUUAAUAAAUGUCAAAGUAUCCAAUUUGACAUUUAUACAUUUGGCCUUAAGUUAGUUCUGUUAUCCUCUUGAAGAACAGACUAAGAAACAUACUGAAGUGUAGCAGAACACUACUCUGUCUAUUGUUCAGUAUAUGCUGUCAAUGAUGAAUGUCAUAACAUCCCGUUUGACAUUCAGUCAGUAGGCCUUAUGCCAGGUCUGGUAUUACCUUGAUAACCAGACUGGAAAUAAAUACUAAGUUCCAACAGAACACCAGCUAUUCUAUUCCUUAGUAUUUGCUGACAGGUAUGAAUGUCACAGCAUCUAGUUUGACAUUCAAUAAAUCCUGUAUUAGCUAAUCCUGCAGUAACUACUCAAGUGUGUCAUGACAUCAGUCAAGACAUCAGAGUACAGUUAGUUAUUCCAACCUACAAUGCAGUCACACAUACACACCAUGUCAUGACAUUAGUCAAGACAUUAGUAACCAGCUAGUGUUUUACCAUAUAAUGCAGCCAAUUAAACACCUACAAACUCCCCCUUUGGCAAAUUUUUGGCUAAAACACUUUGAUCCCCAUAACAGAGUUAAUAGCAGCGGAAUCACACAUCUAGUAGGAAAUAGACCUAGCUAAUACACUCAGAGUGGCAGCAUACUCACACACAUGGAAGUUAAAUAAAAACUUCUACUUGCAGCACACAUACAGAAGUUAAACCCAAACUUCAACACACAACAGCUGUAGGGGAGGGAAUCUUCGAAUCUGUCAAGAGAGUCUGUUGUAGAGACCCACUCUGUUUGUCAGGGGUGGUGGUGGUUAUUACUCCCCCUUUUUGUCAAAAAUGUUGCCAAAGCCAACAACAUAACCAGAGAACAAUGACAGAGUUACAGACUUGGUUUUACUUCACAGUUUCAACCAAGUUAGCAUCCACUUAAUCUUGCUUCACAGCUUUGAUCAAGUAAUCACCCACUUUUGCUUUACAGUAGGUACCACCAUAUCAGAUGCCAUGACUUUGUUUCUGACAUCCAGAACCACUCCUGCAUGAACAGCAUCCUUGAACUCCUGCAGGUACAGUGGCCUUCUCUCUGUAGGGUGUCUCCUUACCCUCUUGUAUCCACCCUUGUUGCAAGCAGCAUAGCUAUGAUCUGUUGACCAAUCAUAGCCUAGUACAAAUUGUUUAAUAGGCAGAGAUAUUAAACAAUUUAUCCCAAACAUCAGUGGUUGCUAUAAGGUCUCAGAGAGACAUAUUCCCAGUUUGCUCCUUAAGUUUUCAAACUGAGUAGCAUCCAGAGCCUUUGUAAAUAUGUCAGCCAGUUGAAGAUCCGUGGCUACAUGUUCCAAAGUGAUCACCUUGUCUUCCACCAGAUCUCUGAUGAAGUGGUGCCUAAUGUCAAUAUGUUUGGUCCUGCUGUGUUGGAUGGGAUUCUUGGAGAUGUUGAUGGCACUGAGAUUAUCACAGAACAAUGUCAUGACAUUUUGAGUGACAUUGUACUCAGUGAGCAUUUGUUUCAUCCAAACCAGUUGGGAGCAACUGCUUCCAGCAGCUAUGUAUUCAGCCUCUGCAGUGGACAGAGAGACACAGUUCUGCUUCUUGCUGAACCACGAUAUGAGGUUUUCUCCUAAGAAGAAACAUCCACCUGAUGUGCUUUUUCUGUCAUCAGCACUUCCAGCCCAAUCAGCAUCACAGUACCCAGAUAGGACAGGCUCAGACCCAUGUGAAUACAGCAUCCCAUAGUCACACGUCCCAUUGAUGUACUUGAGAAUCCUUUUGACUUGAUUCAAGUGGCUCACCUUGGGCUCUGCUUGGUAUCUGGCACACACUCCAACUGCAUAGGAAAUGUCAGGUCUACUUGCAGUUAGAUACAGCAGACUACCUAUCAUGCUUCUGUACAGGCAUUGAUCAACACUAGGCCCUCCAUCAUCUUUGGUUAACUUCAGAUGAGUAGGAGCAGGAGUCCUCUUGUGCCUGGCAUGAUCCAUACCAAACUUCUUAACUAUGUUCUUGGCAUACUUGCUUUGGGAGAGAAACAUAGAGUCCUCCAUUUGGUUUACUUGCAUUCCAAGGAAAUAGGUCAGUUCUCCCACUAGACUCAUUUCAAACUCAGACUGCAUCUGGUGAACAAAUUUUUUAACCAUUUGUUCUGACAUUCCACCAAAGACUAUAUCAUCAACAUAGAUUUGAGCUAUCAUGAUUUUGCCUUCUUCAUCCUUCACAAACAAGGUUUUAUCUAUGCCACCCUUUCUGUAUCCAUUUGAGGUCAGAAAUUCGGUUAACCUUUCAUACCAAGCUCUGGGUGCUUGCUUCAACCCAUACAAGGCUUUCUUCAACUUGUAUACAUGCUCAGGUUGGUUAGGAUCACAAAACCCUUUGGGUUGUUCCACAUAGACUUCUUCAUUCAGGUAGCCAUUCAAGAAUGCACUCUUCACAUCCAUUUGGAAUAGCUUAAACUUCAGGAUGCAUGCUACCCCCAACAGCAAUCUGAUGGACUCAAGUCUAGCCACAGGAGCAAAUGUCUCAUCAAAGUCUACUCCUUCAACUUGAGUGUAUCCUUGAGCUACUAGUCUUGCUUUAUUUCUAGUAAUUACUCCUUUCUCAUCAGAUUUGUUUUUGUAGAUCCACUUGGUACCAAUGAUGUUGGACCCUUCAGGUCUUGGAACCAGCUCCCAUACUUCAUGCCUUGUGAACUGCUCGAGUUCCUCUUGCAUGGCAAUGAUCCAGUAUUCAUCAGUCAGGGCUUCUUUCACAUUCUUUGGUUCAACCUUGGAAACAAAGCAGGAAUUUGAGUUUAUUCCUCUUGACCUGGUAGUUACACCACUAGUGGGAUCCCCUAUGAUAAGAUCCUUAGGGUGGUCUUUCUGAAUUCUGAUAGAUGGCACUUUGGUGGGUGCCUCUACUUCACAUUCAGGAGGAGGUUCCUGUACUUCUUCAGACUUGACUGGACUGUCAGUUGGACUGUCAAGGAAUGUUUCAACAUCCUCCAUGACAUCGGUUCCUUCCUCUUUAUCAUCCACAAUGACAUUUAUGGAUUCCAUCAGGACAUUGGUCCUGUAGUUGAACACUCUAUAGGCUCUGCUGUUAGUGGAGUAUCCCAGAAAUACGCCUUCAUCACUUUUGGGAUCUAGCUUCCUUCUCUGUUCACGAUCUGUGAGAAUGUAGCAUUUACUUCCAAAGAUAUGAAAGUACUUCACAGUGGGUUUUCUGCCUUUCCAUAUUUCAUACAGAGUGGAGGAGGUUCCUUUUCUCAAGGUGACUCUGUUGUGAACAUAGCACGCGGUAUUCAUAGCUUCAGCCCAAAAGUGCAUAGGGAGCUUCUUUGCAUGAAUCAUAGCUCUGGCAGAUUCUUGAAUAGUUCUAUUUUUCCUUUCAACUAUCCCAUUCUGCUGAGGAGUUAUAGGGGAGGAGAACUCAUGACUUAUUCCUUCAGACGAGCAAAACUCAUCAAACUUGGAAUUCUUGAACUCAGUACCAUGAUCACUUCUAAUCCGGACCACACAACUGUCCUUUUCCCUUUGAAGUCUUAUGCACAGAUCUUUGAAGACAUCAAAUGUAUCUGACUUCUCUCUGAUGAAGCUUAUCCACGUGUAUCUGGAAUGGUCAUCAACCACCACGUAUGCAUAUCUCUUUCCACCCAGACUUUCAACCUGCAUAGGUCCCAUUAAGUCCAUGUGCAACAGUUCCAGAACUCUGGAAGUUGUAGGAUGUCCCAGCUUCGGAUGUGACAUCUUGGUUUGCUUGCCCACCUGGCAUUCUCCACAGACUCUUCCUUCAUCAAUAAGCAGCUUUGGAAUUCCUCUGACUGCUUCCUUGGAUAUGAUCUUCUUCAUUCCCCGUAAGUGGAGAUGUCCAAGGCGUCUAUGCCACAGCUUCACCUCCUGUUCUUCCUUGACUGAAGAGCAUAUUGUGGAGAAGUUUGAGACUUUAGGUUCCCACAGAUAGCAGUUAUCUUUGGACCUAGAUCCUCUCAUAACUUCCUGAUUGUCACCAUUCGUCACAAUACAUAGCUCCUUAGUAAACUGAACAUAGAACCCUUGAUCACACAGCUGGCUUAUGCUGAUGAGGUUUGCAGUUAGUCCUCUUACUAACAACACAUUAUUCAGUUUUGGAACUCCAGAGCAGUCCAGCUUACCCACACCUUUUAUUUUUCCUUUAGCCCCAUCACCAAAGGUCACAUAGCUGGUAUUGUGAGGUUGGAUGUCUGCCAAUAUAUUCUCCAUACCAGUCAUAUGUCUUGAGCAUCCACUGUCAAAGUACCAGUCUUCUUUUGUAGAAGCUCUUAGGGCUGUGUGGGCUAGCCUAGCAUACCAUUGUCGCUUCUUACUGGUGACAUUUUGCCUAAAUGUCUUAUGCUUAGGUCUGCCAUGAGGGACUUGGUUUGGGAAACCAUGUAGCCUGUAGCAGAAGGCUUUUAUAUGCCCCAGCCUACCACAGUGGUGACAUUUCCAUUUCUGGAACUUCCUCUUCUGAUGAUUAGUCAUCCUGGUUCCUCGAUGUUGAUACAUUGGAAGUGACUUCCCUUUGGAUUUCUGAACUUUAGCCUUUGGGCAUUUGCGUUCAGUUGAGGAUCUUUUCCCAAAGCCUAAACCAGAUGUGGUUCAAGACUUCUGUCCUAUCUUCAGGAUCUCUUCCAAGGUGUCAGUUCCUUUAUUCAUCAUUCUGAUGGAUUUAGUCAUCUGAUUCAGCUUGGAGGUUAGCAUGGUUAUCUCACCAUUUAGAUCCUCUAUGGCCGUCAGAUGCUGCAGUCUCUCAUCUUCAGCUCCUUGAUGAGUUUCUUCUGCUUUUCUCCUUGUACACGUACUUCUGCACUGGUGACACAUAGCUUCUUGUAAGCUGCAGCAAGUUCAUCAAAGGUCAGUUCAUCUGCACUUGAAUCAUCAUCAGUAGCACAAACACUGGUUAGUGCAGUGACAUGUUUAGCAGAUUCUCCUUCAGAUUCACUUUCAGAAUCUCCUUCAGACCAUGUGAUAGCUAGCCCCUUAUUUUGCAAUUUGAGGUAAGUAGGGCAUUCAGCUCUGACGUGUCCAUACCCUUCACAACCAUGACACUGGAUUCCCUUGCCGUGGUUGAACUUCUCAUCAGAAGUUGAUCUUUUCUUAAUGUCAGACGGGAUGUUCUUGACAUUAGGUCUACCUCUUUGAUCAAUCUUCUUCACGAACUUGUUGAACUGUCUCCCAAGCAUGGCUAAGGCUUCUGAUAUACUUUCAUCACCUCCAGUAUAUCCUGCUUCUGACUCCUCUUCAGCAUUAGAUACAAAAGCUAUGCUUUUGUUCUUCUUCUCAGCAUACUCACCCAAGCCCAUUUCAAAGGUUUGGAGGGAACCAAUGAGCUCAUCCACCUUCAUGUUGCAGAUGUCCUGCGCCUCCUCUAUGGCUGUGACCUUCAUAGCAAAUCUCUUAGGCAAGGACCUGAGAAUCUUUCUUACAAGUUUCUCUUCAGCCAUUUUCUCACCUAGUCCACCAGAGGUGUUUGCAAUUUCAAGAAUAUUCAUGUGAAAGUCAUGAAUAGUCUCAUCCUCUUUCAUCCUCAGAUUUUCAAACUUGGUGGUCAGCAUCUGAAGUUUGGACAUCUUCACCUUGGAAGUACCUUCAUGAGUUACCUUGAGGGUAUCCCAAACUUCCUUAGCUAGUUCACAGUGGUGUACCAGCCUGAAGAUGUUCUUGCUGAUUCCAUUGAACAAUGCAUUCAAGGCCUUGGAAUUUCCAAGAGCUAAUGCCUCUUGCUCCUUGUCCCACUCUUCUUCAGGAAUCUGCACACUGACUCCAUCUUCACCUGUCUUCAUUGGAUGUUCCCAUCCUUUGUUGACAGCUCUCCAGACUUUGCUGUCUAGAGACCUUAAGAAGGCUAUCAUACGAGGCUUCCAGUCAUCAUAGUUAGAGCCAUCCAACAUGGGUGGUCUAUUUGAGUGUCCUAUAUCCUUGUCCAUGGUACUAGAAAGUAACUUCCCUAGAUCUCACCCAGAAAUUCACAGGCAGGGUGCCUGCUCUGAUGCCAAUUGAAAUUCUAGUUAUCAGACUUUGGAUGUCACACGGGUUGUUAUGACAUCCAAUUCUGCACAGACAGGAAUUAUGCAGAACUUAAAAGUAAGUGCAGUAAAUAACACAAGUAAUUGUUUACCCAGUUCAGUCCAACAUGACCUACAUCUGGGGGCUACCAAGCCAGGGAGGAAAUCCACUAUUAGUAGUAUCAAUUCAAAGCUAAACUCACCCGUUUACAACUUAUCACUUAAUCCCUACCCAAUGCAAUUUCAAUCUUAACCUAAGAUCAGAGUUCCUACUCACUCCCCCUCAAUCACCUCAGUGAUUACUAUCUUUAAACAAUAUUAAAGACAAGUUGAAGUCACACUUCAAACAACUCUUGAUUGUGCUUCACAGCUUUAAUCAAGAUACACAGCACUCACGCUUAAAAGCUUUGAGUGACACAACACUUACAACUCAAUGAACACCCUAUGCCAAAGCUAUCAUCUACUUGAUAAUGGCUUGGCUUACAAGAUACGUCUAAUACAAGACUCACAAAAAUACAGCAGUGAAGUAUGAUGGACACACAAAAUCUUCACGCCUCAAAAUCCCUGAAACUGAAUGAAGGAACGCCUUCCUUUUAUAUUGCAGUAUCCUGGGCUUUUGCACCUGUAUUCUCCUGAAUUUAAGGUCACGCGAGUUCCCAUAAAUUCAACAUUUAGGUUACUAACAAAUAGGCUAUUUGUUAGGUUCAUUGAAUGUAGCUUGGUUGUUGAUUUCCUGGAUUUUCUCUCAGUUGUUGAAUCCCUGAAGAAUAGCCUGAGAAAAAGCUGAAACAGAAAACUGAACAACCUACAAUAUAGCAUAUGCUGUCAGGCAUGAAUGUCACGACAUUCAGCUUGACAUCAAGGAUCAUAUGCUGAGUCUGUUUUUCCAGAAAACAGACUGUACAAUUUUGCUGACCUGUAUAUGACCAAAAUGACCAUACUAUAGUAACAGCUUACAUUAAUAAAUGUCAAAGUAUCCAAUUUGAUAUUUAUACAUUUGGCCUUAAGUUAGUUCUGUUAUCCUCUUGAAGAACAGACUAAGAAACAUACUGAAGUGUAGCAGAACACCACUCUGUCUAUUGUUCAGUAUAUGCUGUCAAUGAUGAAUGUCAUAACAUCCCGUUUGACAUUCAGUCAGUAGGCCUUAUGCCAGAUCUGGUAUUACCUUGAUAACCAGACUGGAAAUAAAUACUAAGUUCCAACAGAACACCAGCUGUUCUAUUCCUUAGUAUUUGCUGACAGGUAUGAAUGUCACAGCAUCCAGUUUGACAUUCAAUAAAUCCUGUAUUAGCUAAUCCUGCAGUAACUACUCAAGUGUGUCAUGACAUCAGUCAAGACAUCAGAGUACAGUUAGUUAUUCCAACCUACAAUGCAGCCACACAUACACACCAUGUCAUGACAUCAGUCAAGACAUUAGUAACCAGCUAGUGUUCUACCAUAUAAUGCAGCCAAUUAAACACCUACAAAGUUGGAAUUUCAACUUGCAAGUACGAUAUUUUUGAUGUUUUGAGCACAUUGUAUCCACCUUGUUUUAGUCACUUUUAAAUCAAAUUUUUUUUAAUUGAAUUGAUUGAUUAAUUCAAAUUUUGUUUAAAUUACUUGGUUGUGAUGAUCGAUUACCUUGGAAAUUUUAGUUAAUCAAAUGAUUUUGAAUUUGAAUUUUGAUUGGGUCACUUAAGUAGUUUGUUUAAAUUCCAAUCAAAUAACUUUAUUAAUUAAAUAUUGACCAAAUUAUUUUAUCACGAUGUAAACCUCUUCCAAACUCGAAUUCAUUUCAAUCUUAUCAAUUCGAAAUUAUUCACCCAUUCAAUAAAAACAUGAUUCUCGAUUCAAAGUCGAACCCAUUUUUAAAUACCCUUGUAAGUCGAUAGCUUUUGGCAUCGUCAUCAACCUCACAUAGCUUUCUCUUGGGCUUUCUUACAAUGAGACCUAGUCGAUUGUUAAUUGAUCGAUUAGAUGAUUGAUUCACUAAAUAAAACCCACUUUAUUCAUAAAACACAAACUUAAAAUCUCGAUUCCACCAUCGAGUAUUUCUCUUCAAAUUAUAUUAAGAUGCCCAAUCACAAUCAAAUACCAUUUCAUUUGGAAAUGAAAAGGGGGAUGACUUUGAGUUUUCAAUUCCUUUCCUCGAUUAUUUGAAUACGAGUUCUCUUACACGGUUAGUCAAAUAGUCGUCACUUCCAUCCACCUAAGCACAAACAAAUCGAAUCAUUUUUAUAAUAAGAAACGAAAAGGGAGAUGACUUUGAGUUUUCAAUUUUUUUUCUCCUCGAUUAUUUGAAUACAAGUUCUCUUACUUGGUUAGUCAAAUAAUUGUCGUUCCUCUGCAAGCUUCCAAACCCCGAUUAAAUCAAAUUAUUUUCAUAAUAAGUUAAAUGAAACGGGAGAUGACUUUAAGUUUUCAACUUCUCUCCUCAAUUGUUUGAAUAUGAGUUCUCUUACUUGAUCAGUCGAACAAUUGUCAUUUUUCCACCAACAUAUAAGGUAAUCAAAUUAUUUCAUAAUAAACUAUACGAAAAGGGAGAUGGUCUUGAGUCUUUAGUUCCUCUUCUCAAAUGCUUGGAUAUGAGUUGUCUUACUCAGCCAUUCAAGUACUUUGUCGUCUAUUCCAAAAUACAUCAACCAUACGCAAACCUAUUUUCAUAAUCACUCAGAUGAAAAAGAAAGCGGUCUAGAGUCUUCUAUUCCCUUUCCCGACUAUUAGGAUGCGAGUUAUCUUACUCGACUAUCUGAGUGUUCGUCAUCCAAUCAAAAACACCUUAAUCAUCAUUAAAAUCCUUUCAUAAUUAAGGAUGAAAAAGAAAGCGGCUAGAGUCUUCUAUUCCCUUUCCCGAUUAUUAGGAUACGAGUUGUCUUACUCGGCCAUCCGAGUAAUCAUCAUCCAACCAAAAAUAUCUUAACACAUCAAACCUAUCUUUCUCGCCCUCGUGCGAUCGAAACCAGUCAAACAAAACAUCAAACACAUCAAUUCAACUCGUCACCCCCCGCGUGACCAAAACCCUUGUUUCAAAAAGAAUACUGUCAAUCCUUUCUAAUGCACACAACAAACUAGUGCUAGAGCCUCCACCGAGAGUAGACAAGCCAAUGUUUAGCCUUUAGAACGCCGACCUACACAGUCCUUCAUAAAACAAAACACGCCAAUUAUUCGUAGUUCCUCGAACUACGAAUGCUCUGAUUUCCUUAUUGCACCAUAAGGAUACGUAGGCAGGAGAUUGCUGUAUCUUUGCGAGCACACUAAUAAAAUCCUCUCUUUUCUCCCUUCUGAGGUCGUCAUCCAUAUCUAUUAUCAACUCUAAUUACUCGAAGAAAACAAACAACGUAAGUUAACACUCAAAUUGCAAAAUUGAACUAAAAGGUUCCCGUUGAGUACAACGGGCGUGAGGGGUGUUGAUACCUUCCCCUUGUGUAAUCCACUCCCGAAUCUGAAUAUGGUUGCGACCACCAUUAUUCUAUUUUUCAAAGGUUUUAUCGAUAUUUUCCUAUUCCUUCAUUGGGCUAAAUAAAGUUCGGUGGCGACUUUGUUCGAACUAACAUUUUUCCGCGUCCAUUGCGAAGGAUCGCGUUUUUUCUGAGGUGCGACACUGGUUGUGCAAAUUUAUGUUGAUGGUAUUAUUUUUGGUUCUGCUAAUGCUUCGUUGUGUAAUGAUUUUGCUAAGUCAAUGCAUGAAAAAUAUGAAAUGAGUCUGAUGGAAGAACUCAAGUUUUUUCUGGGAAUCCAUAUUGAUCAAAGAUCAUAAGAAACGUACAUUUAUCAGAGCAAGUAUAGAAGGGAAAUUCUGAAAAAGUUUAAGUUGUCAGAAUGCAAACCAAUGAAGACUUGGAUGCAUCAUACAAGCAUUCUAGAGAAAGAAGAGGUAAGCAGUAAGGUAAAUCAGAAUCUAUCCAAAGGUAUGAUAGGAUUUCUCAUUUAUCUAAUUGCUUCUAGACCUGAUAAUUUAUUCAGUGUAUGCUUAUGUGCCCGCUUCCAAUCAUAUCCUAGGGAGACUCAUUUAACUGUGGUUAAGGGAAUCUUUAGGCAUCUGAAAGGUACUACUAACCUUGGUUUAUUAUUUAGAAAAUAAAGAGAAUACAAAUUAGUAGGAUACUAUGAUACUGACUAUGAUGGAGAUAGAAUAUAAAGGAAAAGUACUUCUGAAAGUUGUCAAUUUUUGGGAGAGAAUCUAAUCUCGUGGUCCAGCAAGAGAUAUUCAACAAUUGUGCUUUCAACAGUCGAAGUUGAGUAUAUCGCAACUUCUAGAUGAAAGACUUAGAUACUCUGGAUGAAGAGUCAGCUAGAAGAUUAUUAGAUAUUUGAGAGUAACAUUCAUAUUCUCUGUGAUAAUACUUAUGUUAUUUGUUUGUCUAAGAAUCCUAUCUUGCAUUCUAGGGCUAAGCAUAUUGAAAUUAAACAUCACUUUUUACAUGACUAUGUUCAGAAGGGUGUUUUCACUUAAAAUUUGUUGAUACAUACCAUCAAUGGGCUGAUAUCUUUACAAAACCCCUUACUAAAGAUAGAUUCAUUUUCAUUCUAAAAAACGUAUUUAUGGACUCUUGUCCAGAAUGAAAAGAUGAAUUUUAGAAUGUUAAGCUUCAGGAACUCUUGAUUAGGUUCUGAGAAUUUUUUUUGUUGAUUCUAAGACAUGAGCUUUAUGAAGUGAGGAAGUUUCAUGAAUAAAAAAGGUUCUAAUCAAAAGCAACCUUAUUGAUUUGCCUUCUUGAUUUGAGUAGUUGUUGCAUUAAGUGAUUGUCAUUUCAUUUGGUAUCAUGCGGUUCUUAGUGGUGACAACUAUCCCACUUUUUGAGCAUGCGUGAUGUUAGCAUGACAAUUAGGUUUCAUAUUUCUUGGAAUUAGGUUAAAUUCUCUUACAUUUCCCCCUAUGAUGGCGUAUUACUUUUGUUGUCAUAAUUAAAAAAAUUGUAUAUAGACCCACUUCACUCACAUUUUCAAAUUACGCUCACAAUUUCUUCCACACUUUCAAUAUUUCAAACCUUCAAACACCCUCUCUACAAAUGUUCAUCUUCAUCCUCAACGUUCUUCAAUGGAUGAUAAAAAAUAACAACAACAACAACAACAAUAAGCUCAACCUCAAUCUUCUCCUUAGUCAAUCGCCGAUAAGAACACUCCUCCCUCCAAGGAAGAAAUUUGCGAUAGUAGUAUCCCAUCGAAAAAUACCAAAUCUUCACCAAUAUCGAUCCUCCAAAAGUCUUAGCGUACUACAUGGCAAGUUUUCUCUUGGAUAAUAUUGAUUUGUUGGUGGAUCCCUUCAAUCUACCUGAUGACUACCUAGUUGUUCCACCGCCUCAUCCGCCACAAAACCCUUAGUUUUCAAAAUAGUCUUGCACUUUUGUGUGUUUAUUUUAUUUAAGUAUUUUUAUACUUCUGUCUUUGUAACAUGAUUGUACUAUUUCUGCCUUCUUACACAUUUCAAUGAAAUCAUGUUUGUCUCUUUCCAUUGUUUUUGUCUAUGUCUUUUUGAUUGAUGACAAAUAAGGAGAAACGUAUUUAAGGGGAGAAACGUAAUUGUUUUGAUAUACUUAUAUUUGUGAAUCAGAACCCAAACAUUUUUGAUGUUUCAGCUAACAACUACUUUGAAGAAUAGUUUGUUAAUUGUAUUGUAGGGAAAACUCAAGAACAUCAAAAGCUCUUGAAGUUUUUCAGAUCAGAACUUAAGUUACCAAUUUAUGAAGAAAUGAUCUACUCUCUGAGUCUGAAGCUUCAACUUUACUGUUUGAGAAAUAUUUCAACCAGGAAUCAUAACCAGGCAUCAAGUUGAGGAAUUGUGAAUUCCAUGUUAAUCAUACUUGAUUCGACCAGGUUCUAAGGUUUAUGACAAGGCUCUGAAGCUAUUUAAGAAGAAUCCGUAACUAGGCUCUGAAAUCUUUUUCAAAUAUUCAAAGAGAAUUUCAAAGAGAACCGGGCUCUAAAGCUUCUUCAAAAGAGUUUAACCAAGCUUCUGAAGUGAAGUUCAUCAUAAUGUUGAUUUUAACAACCAGUGCUCUGGAUAAGAUCAAGAAACUCCUGAAGACAAGCCAAAUUCUGAUGGAAGAUGAUUUUGGUACUUCAAAAAGGUUAAUCAGGAAAGUGCUUUUUUAUUCUGAUUUUAUCUAUUUAGGAAUAGACAUCUUAGGGGUAGCUUUGUGCUUUUGUAAUAUGUAUCCUUUUAUGAUUACCUUGUAAAAAAUUGUUCAUAAAAAUACAUGUUUUUAUCGUCAUCAAAAGGGGGAGAUCAUUAGCACAAGAUUUGGUUUUGCAUCUAUAUCUUGAGUUUUGAUGAUAACAAUGUUGUAUUUGUGUGAGAACAAUUUUGGUACCCUAAUGGUUUGUUAUUAUGUAGCUUUAACAACCAAUUGUGAUUCUGUGUAUAUGAUGUGCAACAUCUUCAGUUUCUGAAUAUUGUGUUCCAAAUUAUGCUUCUGCACUAAUCAUGAAAAGUUAUGAAAUAUAUCAAGUUGCUACUGCAAUGUUCUUUCUGCUUCUAUGCUGAUUCACUCCUAAGAAGUUUUUGGAAAGAUGUUAUGUUGCUGCUGCAAUGCUUUCUCUAUUUCUGCUUUUGGAUGUGACUCUGAUCAUCAACUAUUCAUCAGAAGCCAAUGAAUUUGAAGAUAAGAUCAAAAUGGAUACAUGAUCAAAUAGUACAUGGUACAAAUGAAAUAUUCCUUCCACUACCUGAUAUCAUGGGCAAAUGACAAUACUAUUCUUCUCACCUGUCACUAAUCCGUUAGUGGACAUCUACAUUUUGAUUAUUCCGGAUUUGCCCUCCAACUGUUCCUUUUUCAUGCUAUAUAAAGAGGACUUGGAGACUUGAAGAAAAUACUAUUGCAACAAUUUCAUAAGAUUGUUUUCUACGUGAAAAAGACCUAAACUUUGUUCGUACUUUUCUUCAAGUGUUUGUUUUUCAUUUGUAUAAAAUUUGCUUAUGUAGAAGCAACUUGUAAACAAAAACCUUUAUUCAAACGUGUUAUUUGUGAUUCCUUAAGGAGACUAGGGUAUAGUUUGAUCCUUGAGAAGACAAAGAAGGUUAUUCUUGGUGAUUAUUGUGAUCAGUUAAUUUUAGUGGAUUAAGUCCUUGUAUAUAAGGCGAAAUCACCUUGGCAGAUGGACUGGAGUAGCUUUGAGUUUCAAGCGAACCAGGAUAAAAAUACUUGUGUUUAUCUCUUUGUUCUUAGUAUUUAUAUGAUGUUCUUGAGUUGGUAAAAAAUAUUUUGUUUUUAAAACCCAAUUCAUCCCCCCCCCCCAUUUCUUGUAUUUUUCACAUGUUUACGUAGGUUUAAGGCUCAUGGAGAACUCCAUGGACUCAUGGUGAACACCAUGAGUGUCAAUAUGGAGAACACCCCCCCCCCAUUUCUUGUAUUUUUCACAUGUUUACGUAGGUUUAAGGCUCAUGGAGAACUCCAUGGACUCAUGGUGAACACCAUGAGUGUCAAUAUGGAGAACAUGGCCUUUUCAGGUCCAUGGAGAACGUCAUGGCCUCACAGUGAACGCCACGAGUGUAAAAUGCUGGCCUUUUGACUUUCUUGACUUUUUGGUGCACAGGAAGUUGUCAUGUCAUUGCAAGUGCCAUGGAAAACAUCAUGGUGAAGGUCAUGAGUACAAAUCUUGGUCUUUUCUCCGUUUUUUCAUUGUUUUCAUUUUGAUUUCUCACAUGGAUACUCCUACCUGGAAAGCACGUAAAACAAACACAAUAAACCAACAUAACACAAUAAAAAGGAGACAAAACAAGGUAAAAUGUCACGUGAGUCGAGUCGGAAAUGCAAUACGUUUUGUGGUUAUCAAACUCCCCCGUACUUGAACCCUUUCUUGAAUUCAAGCAAGUUGCUAGCGUAUAUGGAAAUUGUGUAAAUGCAACAAUUUUAGUAUAAAGACUUAGAGAAUACAUAACACUCAAAUACUCAUACGUGGCUACUAAAUCUAUUUCGACCAAAAUUGACUUGAUAGGUACUAACAGUACACCAAGGAUAUCGUGAAAACACAAUUUUGCAUUUCGCGGUUAAAAGUCUCCCUCCUAUGCAAACCAAUCCAAAUCAUGCCAUUAUGCCUAAACAUAACUCACUCAUCCCCCUUUCCAUCCUUUUUCAUUCUAGUGCAAUCACAUUAAGCUCGUUAUCAUUUCACAAACAUAGUAGGAAAAUCUGUUAGUCACUAUAAUCUGGUUUUAUCAAUUUGUGCACUUUGGCUUAACUCAUUAAUAAAUAGGAGGAUAACAUACCGUUUGGAUAAAUGGCUGGGUGAAGGUCACCUAAAUUAGAAGGAACCUUCCCUUUUUAUUCAUUUUUCUUUUAAGCUCAUGAUCAUUCACUUAUUUGCAUUAACUUCCCUAUGUAGUGUGUGUUUAGGAGUGUGUUGACUGCUUAUAUAAACUACUAAAGGAUUUUUAGAGAAAAAGAACUCUAGGUUAUGGACAUAAUAGGUAUUCAAAUUGAUCUCCAUAUUUAUGAGGCUUGAGGUGUUGGUAUGAUGCCAUUUUUGCAAUAAUAUUAUCAAGUCUCCUAAAUCUAGCCUUUAUUUCAUUUGCAGCAUAUAUACUUUCUAAUCAUCCUACCGAUUUCAAGUCUUAUCAAGCAAAUUUUUUUCCAGAAGGGCUCAAGAAAUUGGGAGAUUCAAUAAACAACAAGAAACCCUGAAUAAAGACUUGACAACACAUCCAAAGACUCAAAGCAUACAUUACCCUAUAAAAACAACCAAUGACAUAAAACUAACAUGAUAGUAAAAUACAGAAAAAUGGAAAGUGAAUAAAAGCGGUAAACACCCCUACACUUAAAUCCUACAUUGUCCUCAAUGUAUGAAUGUAAGUGUAAGAAAGGUAGGAAGAACCUGGUGAGUAAAUCAAGUCAAGUGAUCAAUCUCUUUAUUUCCUGCAAAUUCAAACACACAAACAUAACAACUUAAAAGAAUGGAGAGACUUAAAUAUUAAAGACCCAAUUUUUGGAGCUAAGAUACCACAUGAUGCUUAUAAUAUGAUAUGAAUGCAAAUAAGAAUCUCUGUGCGGAAUAUAGAGAACAAGAGAUAAAGAACUGUUAGAGAUGAGAGGGGACUGAAAUUUCGCAGGGGAAAGACAAAUUCCAAAGGGGUACCCAACUGGGGACAAACAAAGUUCCGCAAGGGAAAAGGAAGAGCUAAAAAAUAACUGAUGCAAGGUUAGAAAACGAACUAAAGAUCCAACCGGGAAGACUUGUCGAAGCAAGACUUCGUCGGGGAAAAGCAAGCAACAGAAGGGAAAAACCCUGACUCCAACAGGAGAGGAAUAUUACCUAACUAUCAACUGAGUGAUAGCUUAACAAAGGUAACCAAUCAUAGGUGAAAGGAAUUAUUACCUACUAUCAGCCGAGUGAUAGCUUAACAAAACUAAUAAGCUCAAACAGAAUGAUUACCAACUACCAGCCAAGUGAUAGAUUAAUAAAGGUAACCAAUCAAAAGGGGGACCAAAGUUCAGACCAGAAAUAAACUAGAGAGAAGCAGUCAAAGAAGACUCAAUCCAAUGAGGUCAUGAGCUCAAUGGGGGAUUGAUCCCAUCCAAAUAAUGAACUGGAGGGGAAAACUGAAGCAAAAUUUUCCAUGAGGAUCAGACUUAGUGGGGAAUUAGAAAGGAUAAACUUUUUAUGCUUAAGGUCGACACUCUAUAGGAGAGAGGACGCACACACUUUGCGGGGAGAAACGUUCUAGAGAGUGGUGUGGAAUUAUUGUAAAAUGAAAAAUUCAUAAAUAAACAUCAUUAUGUUAUGCGCAUGCGUAUGAUUAUGCUGACAAAACAAACGCAAAGGAACGAGACUGAUAAUAUAAUACAACCAGAUACUCGGCUAAUCUCAGCAGGAUGGAGAUGCUGGCAGAGAUUCGUUAGGGAUUUCACCACUCUUGCAAACUAAUGUUGGGGAGACUGUUAUGAAAGAAGUUCCAACUUGGGGAAGUCAUUGAAUUCCAUUAUUCAGGAUCUUACCAUCCUUGGGAUUACCAUUAACAUUCCUCUUUUGCAUUCCUAUUUUGUUUAAAUAUAUUUUUGUUUCAAAAAUGAUCAUUAAGAAUAAAUGAAAUUUCAUGAACUGAAACAAAAUAAGAGUAACAAACAAAUGGGAAAAAGGCUCAAAUUUUAUUGAUAGAAUGGUGGUCCAUAAAUGGCGUGACUCCAUGGAUCAUUACAAAGUUGGAAAAUGGUAAAUACGUGGAAAGGGCUACAUUAAAAUACAAUGACCAUUAUUCUCCCUAACAACUUUAAAUUCCACUAUGCUCUGGACUUCGGUUAAGGAUAACUGAAU
RNAcentral lists this long non-coding RNA (69303 nucleotides) under Lathyrus oleraceus (garden pea). RNAcentral describes it as "Pisum sativum (pea) long non-coding RNA (PSAT_LNC031299)". Lineage: Eukaryota; Viridiplantae; Streptophyta; Magnoliopsida; Fabales; Fabaceae. The record is from RNAcentral.